This 52737-nucleotide long non-coding RNA is filed under the name Triticum aestivum (bread wheat). RNAcentral's name for it is "long non-coding RNA (TAES_LNC010697)". The record is from RNAcentral. Lineage: Eukaryota; Viridiplantae; Streptophyta; Magnoliopsida; Poales; Poaceae.
AGAUAUGGGACACACGCUAUAAUUUUUUCAUUUGGUUGUGGUAAUGCAAUUGCCUUGCGAUGCAUACCCACUGCCAUCACAGCUGCCGUCGCAAGCCGGCUGCCGCCUUCGGCUGUACAGCGAGAGGAGGGGCGGUACAUUGCGGCGGCUGCGACGGGAAGAGGAAGAACAGUGCAUAGGGGAAGCAAAUUCUUGUUCAUUCACGAUACAAUUCGGAUUGAUUCAUUAUGCUGUGAUCCGGAGGUGGUGACUAGGGAGGGGGUGUUGGAAUUACUUUAUUGGUGGUGUACAAUUCUUGGAUAGAAGAAAGGUUUCACUUUUUUUGUCUGUUAGUUCAGGAUUGUUUCAUUUACAUUUACAUGUUUGUUCAGUAAACCAGUAUAAAUAUUGAUUGAAUUGGUUUCAAUAAAACAGGGUGGAUCUUAUUCUUGCUGAAGUGCUAAACUCUCUUGUAUCUGUCACUCGCUUGAUGCAGAAAUUCCAUCGAGAAUGGCUUAAUCUCUUGUUAUUUCCAUAUUUCGAUAAUGGUCCAUUUUUGCUGUGGCUAGUUUGCUUUGAUCAGUUCAACCAGAAUGGCCUCAUAUAUUGCUGUGUUAUUUCCAUCUUUCGAUAAUGGUCAAUUUUUGCUGUGGCUAGCUUGCUUUGAUCGGUUCAACCAGAAUGGCCUCAUAUAUUGCUGUUUCUAUUUGACCUACUAUCUCCAUACGCUAGGUCCAAAUUUAUUGCUGUUUUUCUCCUUGUUCAUCCAGAAUUGCCUACUUUGUUCAUCCAGUAUGGCCUUAUCUACGCCUGUUUCAACUUUGCCUGCUUGUUCAUCCAGAAUUGCCUGUCUGUUCAUCUAAGAAGGCCUAAUCUGCUGAUGUUUCUGUUCUGCCUACUUGUUCUUCCAGAAUUGCCUACUGCAUUGUUGAUUAUUUAGUUUCAGUAUUUGUCUGUCAUGUAUGUCUGUUCUAGUAAUUGCUUAUCUGUUUCGUCGACGAGGGUUUACAAGAGAUGUUGCUGUCUUUUGGGUGUUUUUGCUCAGAAUUGGCGAUGGCUUGUGCUGUAGCUCCUUGACUUGUAGAGAGAAGCGGAAGCAGCAUCAGAAUACCAAUCUUUACAGAUGUGUGGCACACCUGCACAGCUUGAAAGAAAGCAAAAGGGGCAAUAUUAUUGUUGUUGGUUAAGAUCAACUUUUAUAUCGGAAAGCGAUUAGCGCGAGCUACACAGGACAGGGACCUCCCAACAGACUCAUAAUUCAGGGGAUUAAUACUGCUAAUACGCUAACUAAUCCCAACUAGAACUCCACUAAAAUUGCCAGCAAUACAUGUAGCCGCCCUUUAAAUUACUGUUAAGAUUCUUGUGAGAGAACGGCAGGAAUAUAGGAAAAUUAAGCUCAACCGAAUCAUCUUUUCCACUUCUUUUGCGAGGGAGGUUGAAUUAUUUGAAACCUGGAACAGUCGUCGAUUUGCCAAAGGCUGUCUGUCUGGUGUCAACAUCUGAAAUUGCAGCAGCAACAGCAGCAUCUCGAUUAUUGGUAUGCUUUCUUUUGUGGAGAAAUGAUUGAUGAGACCGAAAUGUGGCAGCACAACAGUUAUUGCCCAUGAUCAGCACCAUGUUCUGACGAUGGUUUUGUAAGCAGCUGGACACCCUCCCUCCCCUUCUGAAGUCUCCGAGCUGUGUUACCUUAACCACAGGGCACCGAACAUCGGCCGCCCGAUCCCGCGAUCGGACGGCCCUCGGUAGCCGCGGCCACGUUGCCUGGCAACGCUUUACACAUACACGACACAUCGCCCAGGCUGGAGGCCGCCGUCGAGCAGCUGGAGGGCGAGGCAGGUGGUAGUGGCGCGAGCUCAUGAUUGCGUGUGCGUGGGUAUUCAUAUUCCCUCGUCUUUUUUACCCGAAAAAAAUAUAUAUUCUCUCGUCUUUUGGCCUUCUCCCUCCCUUUUGCUCCAUGUUGCGAGUGAGAUGAACUCCACCACCUACUGGCCGCUCGCCACUGGCCAUCAACCACCCUACCCGACCCAUAUUCAAUUCCACCCCCACAUGCUCCAUGCCCGUAUACUAUGCUAUGCGUCCCGAGGCAAAAACUAACACGACUUGGUUUUCAUUUCGUUCGGUCGUGCCGAUGGGCACUGCCCAACGGACGUGGUGGUACGACCGGCCCCUUUCGCAGCCUCGUGCGUGCGUGCGGUCUCCGUCGGACCGUCGAUCGCCGCUGCUUUGCUUUGUGCCUCGUGCACGAAGGUUCUUGCCACUAUCGUCGGCGGCAGGUUGGUGCCGCGGCAGCGCGCAGUGUCGGCCACCGGAUAUGGCCGUCCCGGCCCGUGGCGGGGAGUUUCGGUGGAUCGGCGCGGCGACCGAUCGGGUGGUCCGGCAGGGCUCUUUCGGGCUCACGACACGCCGCGGUAUCCACAACUCGGGAGACGACGGGAAGGGUGGGCGGCUGGCGAGUGGCGAUCGUGGCAGCUGCUGACAGGGCGUCCGUGUUUGGUUAGGGUGGUUAGGGGGAGAUGGUCUGUUGCAGAGGGUAGGGAAGCAGAGGCUGCAGAAGGCGCCAAACCGUCGGGGACUAGGCUGGGAGAUUAGCAUAACGAACUCAGAUGAGAUGGACGCCUAGUGAUCGGACGAACCACCGCCGCAGGGCAUUGGGUGGGCCGCCGUGGCCACCGAAGGCAGCUGCCGUCUGUUUUCCUAUGUGGCGGUCGGCGUUAAGUGUCAUGAUUGUUGUGUGACGUGUCAGCAGAUUAGAGAAGCCGGGCUUGACAGUGACUUGGUUCUUUCUCUGUACCAUACCAUAUAUUGUACUACUAAUAAUAAGUUUUUUUUUUGUGAGUUUCGUUCGUCGACAGUAUGUAUGUCGUGUUUUGUUCGCACCUGUAAACUUACGUUACAUGUUGAUGCAAAGGAGUGUGCCGCUAACAGCUCCCAGCUGCUGCUUCUUGUAACAAUAUAUUACUGUAUUAUAAAGAACAGGGGAACAAAAGAGGAGAGCCGGCAGGGCUAUCCGAGGGCGAGAGGUUUGGAAUGUCCUGCAAUGAUUCGCGUGGGCAGCAGACAUUGAUGCUCAACUGAUUUGGUUAAGCAACGAACCAGAAUCUUUUUCACAGCCCGGUAGGUCACCUAAAUGCGUGCAGGUAGCUACCCCCCCGCGAAAAAGGGAAUAAUUAUCGAUGCCAGGGUCAGUAUGAGUAGUGCACGGCCGUCCUGGCCUGCAUUCGUUGCACCAAACUGCAAGUCCUGCCUCUUGUAGUCUUGCGAUAAACGAGAGGGGCUGUGCGGCGAGACGGCGUCAAGUUUGCAAGGGCGCAGGACAGGUUUGGUGAGGCGUCUGGUGUGGGUUUCAGGGUCACUUUGUUGUGAAAACAAAUGAACAUGGGGAAAGAGAUGGUGAGAAAUACUCCCUCCAUUUCAAAAUAUAGUGCGCCCAUGUUUCCCGAUGUCGAACUUUGACCAUAAAUUUAAUAAACGAGACCGACUGCGGCGGGAGAAAAAGUUACAUAAUUAAAAAUUUCUUUCGAAUACGAAUUCAAUAUAACUUUUGCCCCGCCGCAAUCGAUCUUGAUAGUUAAAUUUACGGUCAAAGUUGAAGCACGUAGAUAAAGAAAGCAUUACAUUGUGGAAUGGAGGGAGUAGCAAGAUGUUGAGAUCACGCGUGGAGCGAGGUACAGUUUGCUAUAAGUGUCAGAGGCAUCGGAUCGGAUGCUUGGGGUGGAGGCCGGGGCAGUGGGGGCACCCUUGCCUUGCUUGGCACCGAAGUUUGUGGAAUAUGCAGAGAUGCGAACCCUCGCGUUCCGGGACUGGUCCUGCGGAACAAAUCAAACUUGGACGAUUCGGGGAAUAUAAAGCUGGAAGUGGACUAAAAGGCGGCAUAUCAGCAACGAAUCGGAGGUUGGAGAGCGUUGGCAACAGCAGCGCGUCGUCUCUCGUCGGGGCCAACCACGGGCAGGCUCAGGCGUUCGUGGAAAAUUCCUUGCCUGCUGGAAGCGAAAGCGGUGCCUGAGGCAGAAGCGCUGUGUAGGCUGAAGCAGCAUAAUUUCUCUUCUUUCUUUGAUCGUCAUUUGAACAUGGGAAUGUGGAAAGUUACUGUUUGAAACCAUUGGCAGGCCAUGGUUAAAGAACUCUACGAGAUCGAAUCCAGCCCAGCAAUUAACCACGUUAUUUGAUUGGCCUGGCUUAAAUAACGCUGAACACCGAGACAUGCGCUAAGGACCAAUCCUUAAAAAAAAAUUAGAAGUACCUAUGAGCACAUGCGCACACCAUAUCCCAUAAGCAUCUUCAACGGACCGACCGGAUUUUCAGAUUGACGAAAUAUCACAUGCACCUUGCUAUCACCUCCACUAAAAAAAUAUUCUGCCUUUAUAAGACACAUAUGUGUCAAACAUAGGGAUGAUCCUUGUUGGACUAUGUAAAAUCACCCUCCUAAGAGCAUUUCUAGCAGACUUCGUAUAAUGCCGCAACCCACAGAAUAAUCGUUAAAAUACGGAUCCGCGCGCAAAAACCUACGCGCAAAUGCGUCCGAUCCGUAAAUUGUUUUUUUGCAGGGCGCGACAUAAUUCCCCUCCCAACCCGCGAAAACGCGGGUUCGCCCCAUCGGCACCCUAUAUAUAGCGGUAGCGGCUGGCUGCCGGGGGGAGGGGGGGGGGCAUUUCAGCCCGCGCUUUUCCCCACCUCCCGCCACCUACGAUUCCGGCCAAACUAGCCGGCGGGAUCACGCCGGAGGGCCGCCACACGGCCGAGCUUGCCCUCCGCCACUUCCUCCUGCGUCGGCGGGCCGGAAAGUUGCAGAUCAGCGACUGUUCGACGUGGCAGCCGGAUUUGGCGUUUCCGGCCACCGGAGGCCGGGCCAAGCCAUGGAUUGGUCGGGGAGCACCCCGCGUAGCCCCGGCAAAGCCCCAGCGCCGCGUGCAGGUACUGGUUCGUCUUGUAGCCGCUGUCGUCGGUUUGCCGGCAAGGAUUCGGCCGGCCGUCCGCCUGGCUCGGCGCUCGCGCAGCGGCUCGCCGAUGCCGGUCAUACAGUGCGAUGAUUGCAAGCGGACAAUGUUGCGGCUAACUUCUGGCACGCCGAAGCACCCCAGCUGGGUAUUCUUCAAAUGCGAAAACGACGGGGUAUGUGUUGUUUCCAUUCGGCUUUGUCACCCUUUCUUCCGUUCAAUUUCGAUAGCUUAUGACAUCGUCAUGUGUGUAGGAAGAUGAAUGCUCAUUUUGGUUUUGGGAAGGAGAAUACAUUGAUUUAUUGAUAGAAAGAAAUUUAAUAGAUGUUCGUGCACUCCUUAGUAGAAUUGAGGUUAAUGAUGCGGCUGCAUGUGCAAUUAGAGAAAAAACUAGGGGAGAAGCAACGUCUACUUCUUUAGAAUCAAAGAAGAAGAAUGAAGAAUGCAAGAUCAAGAAACCGCAGAUCAACAACGAAUGCAUGGAGAAGAUAUUGGUCCAACUAGUGGGAGCAGUUAUGGAAGUUGGAUAUCUUCUAAAAUGCAUAAUUAUGAUUCUUGUUUUCUUUGAUCUUACUAUUCUAUGAAAGAUUUGGUGAAUUACUAUGUAUCCAAUGCCCUUGAAGAAAAUAAAAAAUCAAAGAAAUGUAUUUUCAUGUCUGAAAUUCAAAUGCAAAUUUCGGAUUUGCGGGCUGGCGCGGGCGGCGGCCGAGUAGACCCCGCAAACCGACCCAUAAAAAGCAUAUUAUGCGAAUAUCCUUUUUUACAGGUCUGUUUUGCGGGGUCUGACUCUGCCGCUGCUCGCGUCGGCCCGCAAAGUCGUUUUUCCGCGAACUGUAUACGCGUUUUGCAGGUCGGCAUUAUGCAGGAUUUGCUAGAGAUGCUCUAACCAUCCAGUAGUGGAGCUAGCCCACUGGGCCUGUGUGGGCCAACAGUGAAAAUUGUUUAUUUUUUCAUUUUUAAAGCCUUGCAAAACCCAGGGAGGCCCAAUAUGAGGGUGGGCCAUGACCCGCCCGGACACAUGUUGGUGCUCACGCGCUUAGGUCCAAUAUUAAAUCUUGGUUCCCUAAAUUUACAUCUAUACCAAUAUAUAAAGAUACAAAGUGACAUAUCCAACUAAUCUCGCCCAUCAAAUUAUGUUCAUCCAAUGACCUAAUAGAUUCAAUAGUGAGCACUCAACAUGUCUAGCGUGCAAUCAAUAUCAUAACAAAUAUUAAUGUUAGCGCUAACCACAUACUCCCUCCGUUCCUUUAUAUAAGGUUUAUUUGUUUUUUUAAUAAAAUUCCAGAAUGUAAGGUGCAUUUAUUAUAUUUCCUUAUAAUUCCCUUGUUAGCCCUCUAGAAAAAGGAAAGUAUCUCUCUCCUGAUUGUCUAUAUCUCUCCUUAUAGUAAAAUAAGAAAACUAUCUCUAUGUUGAUUACAUGUAUCUUUUACUUUCCUGGACUAACUGAUUUACUUGUCACUAACCAAUAAAUUUGCCAAGGAAAGUACUAUAUGCUCCGCAUUACUUUUCUGGUACAACAGCAUCAUGGUGGGAAAACCUAUGCCACACGCAUCCCAAUGGAGGGGACAUGACCUGGGAGCAAUUCAAGGAAAACUUUCGGGGAGCCCAUAUCCCCAAUAGUAUCAUGAAGUUAAAGAAACGAGAGUUUGAGGAUCACAAGCAACGGGGCACAACAGUAACCCAAUACCUGGACCAAUUUAAUCAGCUAGCUCGGUACGCCAAUGAUGAGUACAUGACAGAGAACAAAAAGAUGGAAAAGUUUAUGAACGGACUUGUUCCAUCUCUGAAGUGACAAUUGGUGGUUCACACCUUUCCAGAUUUCAAGACAUUGGUAUACAAGGCUAUUAUUCUGGAAAAUGAGCACCACAACCUGAAUGAGAUUCACAAGCGCCAUAUGAACUAGUCAGCACCGGUCCGCAACAACAGGCCCCGAAAUGAAUUUUAGAAGACUAUGAUACGCCGACCAGCAGUACCGACACCACGACCGCAACAAAAUCGCAGCACUUUCAACAAUCGGGCCAAGGAAACUGUGUACCGUCCUGGCAUUACUUGCUACGCCUGUGGUGCGGAAGGGCAUUACGCUAGGCAGUGCCCAAAAUAGGGAAAUAAUGCUCCAAGACCCAAUAACAACGGCCGCAGGACAAACGCAACCCCACGACACAACAACCCCAAUAACAACCAAAGAAAGGGACAAGUUAAUCAUGUGACGUUUGAGGAAGUCCAGAAUGCACCGGACAUCGUGUUUGGUAUGUUCCCUGUCAACACAAUUAAUGCUACAGUUUUAUUUGAUUCCGGAGCUUCCCAUUCGUGCAUCUCUAAAAGAUUUGCAUUGAAGAAUCAAUUUUCUUUUUCGCCGUUGGAAAAUUCAAUGGUUAUUCAGUCCCCGGGAUCAAAGCAAAGUACGCAAUGGUACUGCAAGGAUGUGAGCAUUGACAUCAAAGAAACGAAGUUUUAGCCAACCUUAUUGUGUUGGAAGCAGUCGAUCUGGACGUCAUUCUGGGAAUGGACUGGUUGAUUGCAAAUAAAGGUUUUAUAGACUGCUACAACCGUACAAUAACUCUCACACACUGUCAAGGGAAAGAAGUAAAUGUUGGUACAAGGAUAAUAUCCACCUCACAGGGAAAAUUAAAUCAAGUGGACAUGACAGACUUACGCAAAGUUCGUGUGGUAUGUGAAUAUCCAGACAUUUUCCCUGAGGAUCUACCAGGCAUGCCACCGGAUCGUGAGAUUGAGUUCGUUAUCGAACUAGCACCCGGAACGGCACCCAUCUAUAAGAAGCCGUACCGCAUGGCACCAACAGAGCUGGUUGAGCUAAAUAAGCAAAUCAAGGAGUUAUUGGAGAAGGGUUAUGUCCGACCCAGCUCGUCACCAUGGGGAUCAUCGGUGUUAUUCGCCAUGAAAAAGGAUGGCACCUUAAGGUUGUGUAUUGAUUAUAGGGCACUCAACCUGGUCACCAUCAAAAAUAAAUAUCCACUGAUGAAGCUAUGUACCUAGGGUAGGAUCAUGGACCUGUCCUAACUGCCCUACCCAAGGACAUCUCUAGAAGAAACCACCUUUCAAUCGACUUGGAGGUGUUCCACUCGACAGACUCGAAGACGCUCGACCAAGAAGCAAUCACUCGACCAAGACCCAACCACUCGACGACUAGGAGACCUAAAGGCACUCCGCACGCUAAAGGUCGGUCAUUAAGUAGCUUUUAUGGUCAUCAUAACACUUUAUUACUAGCGUUACCAGUAACGCCCUGCCUUAAUGUACAUUGAACCCUUUGUAACAUGGGCUGGCCGGGGUCCUGGUGCACUCUAUAUAAGCCACCCCCCUCCUCCGAGACAAGGGUUCGCACCUCUGUAACCCAUAUUCAUAUAAUCCAGUCGACCGCCUCCGAGCUCCAAGACGUAGGGCUAUUACUUCCUCCGAGAAGGGCCUGAACUCGUAAACCUUGCGUGCUUACAACUUCUCCACAGCUAAGAUCUUGCCUCUCCGUACUUACCCCCCUACACUACUGUCAGACUUAGAACCACGACAGUUGGCGCCCACCUUGGGGCAGGUGUUUUAGCGUUUGUUGGAGAAGUUGCGACUUUUUCCCGACCCGAAUCGUCAUGGUUUUCGGCGGAGCGGUGGAGGGCCGCGAGAUCCGUCUCGGCGCGCUCACGUUCAUCGUCGACGACUCUGCUUGGCUCCAGGAGGCUCCGCUCGACGUGGACGCACUCCCUGCUCGCGGGGCAACGCACUUUAGCGCGUGUGUCCGCGGCGUUCUCCUGCGGCAACUGUCGACCCCCUAUCGGUCGGCUCCUGUGUUGUCCUCACUCCCCGUUUCCUGCCGGCGCAAGCGUUCUGGUCGGUCGAGACUUCAGCGGUGGGUGAGGCACGCGGUGGCGCGUCAGUCGGCCACCCCCCAGGUCGCGGCGAUCGAGCCCGACGAAUCCCUCUACGGCCUAUUCGACUGGCUCCGCAGAGACCGCAUCCGAGUGCGACAGCAACGAUCCGGUGGAGGAGGUUCUGAUGGUCGAUGGACCGCCCAGUCCUCCCGGUUUUACCCGUACCGACAGAGGCGCGGGUGGAGGCGACCCGUCGCGUCUCCAUGAGGAGUAUCUUCCCCAGCCUCUCACAUCGCUGCAGAGAGAAGAACUUCGCCGCCGGAACAUGGAUGCACUGCACACUCCUAUCGUUGGAGAGACCCCCGAGGCUCGCGCCUUGGAGGACGCCUGCCUGGCAAACUUGGCCGAGCGCACUCGACUGGAGAACCUCCAGCGAGCACUCGACGAGCGUGCGCGACAACGGAUUCCCGAAUCCAGUCGACGUCAGCUCUUCCCGCCCCCGCAGGUAUAUCGAACUCCGGUUCAGAAUUUAGCAGCUGCGGCCCGUAUAGUGGAGUCGAUUCAACCUUCCCAGUCGGAGGCUGGCAGAGGCUUGCUGCAGAUCAGAGCGUUACUCCGGGCAGCAGGAGAUCAGAAUUCCGCUGUUUCUCAGUCGCGGAACAGGAUUCACAGCAGAUCCGUUGUCGCGGACACAGUCCAGUCGGCUCACAGCCCGAGAUCGCCCCCGAGGCGUGAGGGACGUGGAGACCGGCGUUACCAGUAUGGGAACCAUGAGCAGUAUGAUCACCGAGUCGAUCGUGACGGUCGACGUCGAGUGCCCACGCCUCCCCCGAGGAGCGGGUCGUAUGUGCCUCGCUAGCAGGAUGACAGGCGCUCUCAUAGUGGUGGGCGAAGGAUUCCAGUCGACCCCAGAGGGCCAGGCUUUGACGCGAGAUCCAUUCUCGUCCAGGGUUUGGUCGACAGGAACAGGGCUCACCGAGAAGGUCACGACAGAGAUGCACCUACUAGCAGCAGAGUACAUGUUUCGGGGCCAGAAUGCUUUAGUAGAGCCACCAGGGCCGCUGUGAUUCCUCCCAACUUUAGGUUGGCGACUGGAGUCAGUAAGUUCACUGGCGAGUCCAAGCCCAAUACUUGGCUUGAAGAUUACCGAGUGGCCGUCCAGAUCGGCAGCGGCAAUGAUGAAGUGGCCAUGAAGCACAUCCCUCUCAUGUUGGAGGGCUCGGCCAGAGCGUGGCUGAACCAGUUAGCACCUAGCAGCAUUUACACUUGGGAGGAUCUCUCCCGAGUUUCGUCACCACAUUUGAAGGUACGUGCAAGCGGCCGGCAGGGCUGACGGAACUGCGGUCUUGUGUACAGAAGCCAAAUGAAACUUUGAGGGAUUACAUUCAGAGGUGGAUCACGUUACAUCACUCGGUGGAGAAUGUGCCUGACCACCAAGCAGUUUGUGCCUUCAAGGAAGGCGUCAAGUACAGAGAACUGAAUUUGAAAUUCGGUCGAACUAGGGAUAUGUCCCUGAAUCGAAUGAUGGAGAUUGCCACCAAGUACGCUAAUGGCGAAGAUGAAGAUCGACUCAGGAGUGGCAAACUCAAGUCAGUCGCCCAAGAACCCGGGGGCAAUUCCAAUCGGAAACAGAAGCAGAAAGCCGAGCCAGUGGCUCCCGGAGAAGUCUUGGCUUUAACCCAAGGAAAGUUUAAAGGGAAACCAAAAGGGCCUUGGAACCCGAAAAAGGUUAAAGACUAGGACGGAAAUGAUGUGUUGGACUUGCCAUGUCUCAUCCACACAAAGAAAGAUGAAGAGGGUAAUUUCAUUUACCCGAAACAUACCACUCGACAGUGUCGACUCUUGAUCCAGCAGUUCCAGGGCAAACAAACCAAAGGUAAGGAAAAGGGGUCGGACAAGGUCGAGGACAAAGAGGACAGUGACGACGGAUACCCUCAAGUCAAUUCCACCUUGAUGAUUUUUGCUGAUGUUGAGAGCAAAAAUCGAUUGAAAGUCAUAAACCGAGAGGUGAAUAUGGUUGCUCCGGCGACACCAAGUUAUUUGAAAUGGUCCCAGACUGCCAUCACGUUCGACCAGUCCGAUCACCCAACGCAUAUUGCCACCCCUGGGAGGCAAGCUCUGGUGGUCGACCCAGUGGUUGAAGGCACUCGACUGACCAAAGUCUUGAUGGAUGGUGGCAGUGGUUUGAACAUAUUGUAUGCUGAGACAUUGAAAGGGAUGGGCAUUCCGAUGUCCAGACUCAGCGCCAGCAACAUGAGUUUCCACGGAGUCAUUCCUGGGAAGAAGGCUGAAUCACUCGGCCAGAUUGCUCUUGAUGUGGUUUCCGGUGAUUCCAAGAAUUACCGCAAAGAAAGGUUGACAUUUGAAGUUGUAGACUUCCAGAGUGCCUACCACGCUAUUUUGGGCAGGCCGGCUUAUGCAUGCUUCAUGGCCCGACCGUGUUAUGUGUAUCUUAAAUUGAAGAUGCCUGGCCCCAAAGGUGUGAUCACUAUUACGGGCAAUCGGAAGAAAGCGGAAGAAUGUUUUCAGAAAGGUUCGAAGAUCGCCGACACUCAGAUGGCAGUGGUGGAGUUGCGGGAAUACCAGAAGACUGCAGACCCGAGUGAUUUGUUGCGAGCCAAGAAGCCCGCUACAGAGUCAGGUUUUCAGUCGACUGGCGAUACAAAGACAGCUCAUAUCCACCCGACCGACCCCAGCGCUGCUCCAACUCAUAUCUCGACAACACUCGACUCCAAAUAGGAAGAAGCGCUCAUCUAGUUCCUCCGUGAGAACUGGGACAUUUUCGCAUGGAAGCCCUCUGACAUGCCGGGUGUUCCCAGGGAGCUGGCUGAGCACCGCCUAAGAGUCGACUCAAAAAUAAAACCUGUCAAGGAACAUCUCCGAUAGUCCGUCGUCCAGAAGAGAAAGGCCAUUGGCGAAGAGGUAGCUCGGCUCUUAGCGGCAGAGUUCAUUCGAGAAAUCUACUACUUUGAGUGGCUCGCCAAUGUUGUCAUGGUCCCCAAGAAGGACAAGUCACUUCGCAUGUGCAUUGACUUUAAACAUAUCAAUCGGGCCUGCCCGAAAGACCAUUUUCCUCUCCCCCGCAUUGACCAGAUAGUCGACUCGACUGCGAGAUGUGAGCGACUAUCUUUUUUAGACGCCUAUUCCGGGUACCAUCAGAUCCGUCUGUAUGGACCUGACGAGAUCAAAACAACUUUCUUCACUCCAUUCGGGUGCUUCUGUUAUGUUACCAUGCCAUUCGGCCUCAAGAAUGCCAGAGCCACAUUCAUGAGGAUGAUUCAGAAGUGUUUGCUCACCCAAAUCAGUCGGAAUGUGGAGGCGUACAUGGAUGAUAUUGUGGUCAAGUCACAGAAGGGUUCCGACCUGCUGACUGACCUUGCUGAAACCUUUGCCAACCUCAGAAGGUUUGAUAUCAAGCUUAAUCCAUCAAAAUGCACAUUCGGGGUUCCUGGCGGAAAGUUACUCAGUUUUCUCGUUUCCGAAUGGGGAAUCGACGCCAAUCCAGAAAAGGUUGGUACUAUACUCUGAAUGAAAAGUCCUGUGCGAGUGCACGAUGUUCAGAAGCUUACUGGUUGCUUGGCCGCCCUAAGUCGAUUCAUAUCUCGUCUCAGUGAAAAGGCAUUACCUCUUUACCGAUUAAUGAAGAAGUCUGACAAGUUCGAGUGGACUCCUGAAGCUGACACAGCGUUCGCAGAACUCAAAGCUCUGCUCUCCACCCAGCCGGUGCUUGCUGCCCCAAUCAGCAAGGAGCCUUUGCUGCUUUACAUUGUAGCCACAGGACAAGUCGUCAGUACGGUACUCACGGUCGAGCGGGAAGAAGAAGGGAAAACCUUCAAAGUUCAGCGCCCAGUGUAUUAUAUUUCUGAAGUCUUGACCCCAUCGAAGCAAAGAUAUCCUCAUUAUCAGAAGCUCGUAUAUGGGAUUUAUAUGACCACAAAGAAAGUUGCCCACUACUUCUAUGAUCAUUCCAUUACAGUCGUCAGCGACGCUCCGUUGUCAGAGAUCUUGCAUAACAGGGACGCAACUGGUCGAGUGGCAAAAUGGGUGAUUGAACUCCUUCCUCUAGAUAUCAAGUUUGAGGCAAGGAAAGCUAUCAAGUCCCAGGCAAUCGCGGAUUUCGUCGCCGAGUGGAUUGAACAGCAACUGCCGACUCAGGUCCACUCGGAGCAUUGGACCAUGUUCUUUGACGGUUCCAAGAUGAUAAAUGGUUCCGGAGCCGGAGUGGUGUUGGUCUCUCCCAGAGGAGAUAAACUCAGAUAUGUUCUUCAAAUCCACUUUGAUUCCUCUAACAACGAGGCAGAAUACGAAGCACUUUUAUAUGGGUUGCGCAUGGCCAUUUCACUCGGCGUCCGUCGCCUCAUGGUCUAUGGCGACUCAGAUUUGGUGAUCAAUCAAGUGAUGAAGGAAUGGGAUGUCAGAAGUCCAGCCAUGACUGGUUAUUGCAAUGCAGUGAGAAAACUGGAGAAGAAAUUCGAGGGGUUAGAGCUUCAUCACAUACCCCGACUGAAAAAUCAAGCAGCUGAUGAUCUGGCAAAAAUAGGUUCCAAAAGAGAAGCCAUUCCCAGCAAUGUGUUUCUGGAACACAUCCACACACCAUCAGUCCAGGAGGAUCCCUUCACUGAAGAGGCCCCGCAGCCAAAAAGUGCCACGGAUCCGACUGAAGUCGAAGUACCAGCUGUGGUCGACUUGAUCAUGGAAGUCCUGGUUAUCACUCCUGUCUGGACAGAACCGUACAUCGCGUACAUCCUAAGGAAAGAACUCCCAGAAGACGAAGAAGAAGCUCGACAGAUCGUCCGUCAAUCCAAGGCCUUUACAGUCAUAAAGGGACAGUUAUAUAGAGAAAGCGCGACUGGGGUCGGCCAGAAGUGUAUUACACUAGAAGAAGGUCAGAUGAUCCUUAACGAUAUCCACUCGGGGACCUGUGGCCAUCAUGCGUCCUCUCGGACCAUUGUGGCUAAAGCAUAUCGAGCGGGGUUCUACUGGCCAAGAGCCAAUGAGAUGGCCAAAGAGAUAGUCGACAAAUGUGAAGGAUGUCAGUAUUAAUCCAAGCCACACAAGCCCGCGUCGGCCCUGAAAACCAUUCCACUCGUCUGGCCCUUCGCUGUUUGGGGGUUGGACAUGGUUGGACCACUGAGAACAGGCAGGAGCGGCUUCACUCAUGUGCUGGUAGCAGUCGACAAGUUCACCAAAUGGAUUGAGGCCAAGGCUAUCAAGAAUCUUGAUGCUUGCACCGCUAUCAGUUUCAUCAGAGAGUUGAUAUUCAGAUAUGGAGUUCCGCACAACAUCAUCACCGACAACGGGUCAAACUUCGAUUCCGACAAAUUCAGGGCCUUUUGCGCCUCCCAGGGCACUCGGGUCGACUAUGCUUUGGUCGCUCACCCUCAGUCGAAUGGGCAAGCAGAAAGGGAAAACGACCUAAAUCUCUAAGGACUGAAACCCCGAUUGAUGCGCGAUCUCAAGCACGCAGCAGGUGCAUGGGUCGACGAGCUUCCAUCAGUCCUUUGGGGAUUGAGGACAACCCCGAAUCGAUCGACCGAAAGAACCCCAUUCUUUCUGGUCUAUGGAGCCGAGGCAGUCUUACCGAGUGACCUGCUUCACAACGCUCCCAGAGUCGAGCUCUACUCAAAAGAUGAAGCAGAACAAGCCCGGCAGGACGCAGUCGACCUCCUAGAAGAAGAAAGAGAAAUGGCCUUGAUUCGAUCGACCAUCUAUCAGCAAGACUUGCGUUGAUUCCAUGCCAGAAACGUGAAGAGCCGAGCCUUCCAAGAAGGAGACUUAGUCCUCCGAGUGGAUCAGCAGAAACCACACAAGCUCGCCCCUACUUGGGAAGGCCCCUUCAUAGUCACUAGAGUCCUCCACAAUGGAGCAUACCACCUCUACAAUGUCGAUCACCAGAUUGAUGAGCCACGAGCCUGGAAUGCGGAGCUACUCCGCCCCUUUUAUACUUAAAUUCUCACUCGGAUGAGAUGAAAUAAGAAAAACUCCUGAAGUUUAUUUAUCAAAGACAAGAGCGUUAUAAUUUUCCCAGUGAUUAUUAUUGUUUUUUUUGUUUGCGUAAGAAAUCUCCCAGUGGAUGACUUAGCUGCAAAUCCAUUUUGCCUAAGUUUGAAAAAAUCCUACCGAGUGGAGAGCAAUCCUCCCACCCGGGGGGCUUAGCUGCAGUCCAGUACUCGCCUAAGUUCUCUCACUCAGAGACUUAGCUGCAGUCCGGCACUCGCCUAAGUUUGAAAAAUCCUACCGNNNNNNNNNNNNNNNNNNNNNNNNNNNNNNNNNNNNNNNNNNNNNNNNNNNNNNNNNNNNNNNNNNNNNNNNNNNNNNNNNNNNNNNNNNNNNNNNNNNNNNNNNNNNNNNNNNNNNNNNNNNNNNNNNNNNNNNNNNNNNNNNNNNNNNNNNNNNNNNNNNNNNNNNNNNNNNNNNNNNNNNNNNNNNNNNNNNNNNNNNNNNNNNNNNNNNNNNNNNNNNNNNNNNNNNNNNNNNNNNNNNNNNNNNNNNNNNNNNNNNNNNNNNNNNNNNNNNNNNNNNNNNNNNNNNNNNNNNNNNNNNNNNNNNNNNNNNNNNNNNNNNNNNNNNNNNNNNNNNNNNNNNNNNNNNNNNNNNNNNNNNNNNNNNNNNNNNNNNNNNNNNNNNNNNNNNNNNNNNNNNNNNNNNNNNNNNNNNNNNNNNNNNNNNNNNNNNNNNNNNNNNNNNNNNNNNNNNNNNNNNNNNNNNNNNNNNNNNNNNNNNNNNNNNNNNNNNNNAGUGGAGAGCAAUCCUCCCACUCGGGGGCUUAGCUGCAGUCCAGCACUCGCCUAAGUUCUCUCACUUAGAGACUUAGCUGCAGUCCGGCACUCGCCUAAGUUUGAAAAAAUCCUACCGAGUGGAGAGCAAUCCUCCCACUCGGGGGCUUAGCUGCAGUCCAGCACUCGCCUAAGUUCUCUCACUUAGAGACUUAGCUGCAGUCCGGCACUCGCCUAAGUUUGAAAAAAUCCUACCGAGUGGAGAGCAAUCCUCCCACUCGGGGGCUUAGCUACGGUCCAAUACUCGCCUAAGUACGAAACACAUCUCAUUCCUCAAGGACGACGAGGGGCAGGUCGACUGCCACCUUCUCCUGGGGAGCUUCGCCACAAAUACAAUGUGCGCUCCGUCCCACUCUGCAGUAACAGGAUGUGGGUCGACCGCCACCUUCUCCUGGGUAGCUUUGCCAUAAAUACAAUGUGCGCUCCGUCCCACUCUGCAGUAACAGGGUGUGGGUCGACCGCCGCCUUCUCCUGGGGAGCUUCGCCACAAAUACAAGACAUAGGUCGACUGCUUCCCUCUCCUUCGGAGCUGCGCUGCGAAUGCAAAAGUUGUCUCGAAUGAAGAAUGGGUUCACUCAGCAGGAGAUUCAUAAAGAUAUUCAACAGUAAACCAAGUUCGGGUAAAUUCCAAAGGUUCUAAAACACAGAUCGAAGUACUCGGACAUGCAGCCCGAAAAAGUUUAACGGUUACAAAAACCACUCGGCAUUCCAAGGCAAAUUUAAGGUGGGACAUAAGAGUUUGUUCACUUUGCCGGAGGAGGGCUAGCAGGCUCGACGAACUCAUCCAGGUCGACGCCAUCGGCUAUCCGAGUGGCUACAGCGAUGAAAGUCUCCAUAAAGGUUCGGAAGUCAUGCUUCUGGGUGUUGGCGACCUUGAUUGCUGCUAGUUUGUCCUGUCGCACCUCCUUGCAGUGGACACGAACCAAAGACAGAGCCACGUCAGCGCCACACCGAGCAGCAGACUUCUUCCACUCCUGCACUCGGUCGAGGAUUUCAUUUAGUCGAGUCAGCAGGGACUCGAUAUCAUUUUGGAGCACAGCCUCUGGCCAAAGUGCCGGGUCAAUCCGCGACAUGGCGACCUUCAGUCGAGCCAAGUAGUCCACGGCACUGUCGAUGCGAGAUUCCAGACGGAGCAGAUUCAUGGCAGUUUCAUCUUUCACAGGAGAGUUGAUUGGAUCCAAACCAGGCUCGAUCCGCCCAGUCUCCUCUUCAAAGUUCUGGCAAAACUCUGCAUUCACGAUCCAAGGAUAAGUCAAUUUUCGUACAAUGAGUCGACUCAAAAAAAAGUCAGUCGGAACAGAAUGUGCACCUUCAAGCUUGAUGAACAGCUUCUUGGCAAGACUUCUCAGAUAACUCUCCAGAUCAUCCCUCCUGCGAGCAAUGCCUUCCAUUUUCUCGCCCCGGAUGAGAUUCGCCUUUUUCCAGCGCGAGCACUCCUUGUUGGAGUCAUUCAGAGCAGUCUUCAGCCUGGUAUUCUCUUCUUCCAACUGGCCUACCGAAGCCAGCUUCUGUUCGGCCAGAGCGGUCUUGUCGUCAGCCUCCUUACGAGCAGCGGCCAAAUCCUGAUCCUUCUUCGCCAGAGCUUCUCUCAGUUUUUCUGCAAAGAAAUGAUGAUUGAUUCAGAAAUAGCAGAAGGGUACCCAAGCCUAAAACCGACCAGUUGACAAACUCGUCUUACCUGCGGCACCGUCUCUGACCUUUUGCAGCUCUGUCGUGGCCAGCUCCAAGUCAAGGUUCAGUUGAAUCCGCUGCUUCUCCAAGUCAGCAAAACGAGCUCCAAGAUCACAAGAUUUCUGAAAUCAAAGGGGAGAAGUUAUUUUUACAGCAAAAAAACAACAACAAAGGCAAUAAAUACUAAGACUACGGUCGACUACCCGCAGUCCACCAUAGUCUCGGGGACUACACCCAGUGGGUGCACUUAGCGUGCCCCCACCGGUUCUGAUCCCACUCGACCGGUCCGCCAGAGUCGAGUGGGGGGAGUAAAAAAAGAGAGAAAGUAGAACUCAGACCACAAUCAACUGCCAGCAGUCGACCGCGGCCUCGGGGACUACACCCAGUGGGUGCACUUGGCGUGCCCCCACCGGUUCUGAUCCCACUCGACCAGAUCGAGUGGAAGAGAUAAACUACCAGUUCGGUUUAUACAUUCGGCAAAAUACAAAGACUACAAUCGACUGCCAGCAGUCCACCGUAGUCUCGGGGACUACACCCAGCGGGUGCACUCAGCGUGCCCCCACAAGUCCAAAAAUUCAAUCGACACACCCACUGGGUGUACAGAUGCAAAGGUUUUCGGAAAGAAUCCUCAUGUAGCAUAUCCUAACAGAACAAGCGGCGACCAACUAACCUGAACGUUGCUCUGGAGAGCCGAGCUAGCAUCAUAGGCGGCUUGGCUGGCGUCUCGCACCGUCUUCAUCUUCUCCAUCAUAAUGCCCGCCUGGCGUAUGGCUUCCUUAGCAGCAUUCACCUCGUCCUUUGGGACAUGAUGGGUCACAAAAACCGAAGACGGGUCGACAGGAGCCUGAGCAGUCGACGAAGAAGGCAAGGCACUCGACAGUGGCUCAGCGAAGGAAACAGAACCCCGGUUGACAUCGCCAGUGUCCUGAACAACUGGUUCCGCCCUCGGCGUCGUCUGUAGCGCCUCGCUUGCAGGAGCUCACCUAUUUUUCCUCGUCAAAGGCCUCUUGGGCUCUUCAUCAUCAUCAGGGAGGUCAAUAACGUUGGGAGCUAUGCAAAGUUCAAUCGUCAAAGUCACAUCACCCAAUGGUAUGCGUUGCAGUUGAAUCGACCAAAAUAAAGACAAUAUGGCAGGGAUCAUACCCGGAUUAGAAGUGACCGCAUCCUCCAUCACCUCAUCUUCGUCCCUGUAAGCUGAGGUCCCGGAGGUAGCAGCGCUGGCAGUUCCAAAGUUCGUCCAGUUAAAACAAGAAAAACAAACAGCGCGGAGCGUCGAGUGAAUGCAAAGAGAGGCACUCACGCGGAAGCGACGGGGAUAUCAAUCUUGAUUUUCGGCAACGCCUUCCGAGUCUUCGGCUCUACAACUCUGGGGUGAUUUGGUGCCUUCUCAGUCGGGGUUGGUGAAGAGAUCCGAGGGCACUUCGAAGACUGACCAGCCGGAGCAGUUGCCUUGUCACGGGCACUCGGCCGUUCUUGGUCAAGCUUGGAUCGCCUCUCCCUGCGAGGAGGCGACUCGACUUCUUCUCCACCGCUUGAGUCAUCGCUUCCUCCAUCCCCUUCACCAUCGGAAGUCCACUCGCCACUUUCGUCGCCACUCGCCUUGCCUUCCAGAGCUUGCUCUUGCUCCCCAUUGGGCAUUGAAUACAUUUCAAUAAUGGCCUGAAAGAAAGCAGGUAGAUCAAAGUCAGUCGACGCAAUAUAGGCAGCUACGCGAGUGAAUUCAGAUUACAAGCAAAAACUCAGAACCAGACCUGCUCUGGUGCGAGGGACUGGUCGAAUGGAGGGACUCUCCUGGCUCCCCUGGGAUUGUCCUUAUUCCCGGUAAUGGCAGACAGCCACUUCUCCAAUGUGUCGUCGUCGACCUCCUCCGGGUGGAUCCGAGUGGAGUCUUCAAGACCCGAAUACAUCCACAUCGGAUGGUCUCGGGCUUGGAGAGGCUGGAUGCGCCGCUGAAGGAAGACCUCCAAGAGAUCCAUACCAGUGACCCCGUCACAAAUAAGCUGGACCACUCGGUCGACCAACACCUUCACGUGCGCCUUCUCCUCCGGGAGCACCUUCAAAGGGGAGGGUUUUUCCACUCGGUCCAUGGUAAAGGGAGGGAGACCAGUCGAUUGCCCCGGCUUCGACUGGUCUUUACAGUAAAACCAGCUCGACUGCCAUCCGCGAACUGAGUCGGGAAGAAUCAGAGCCGGGAAGGAGCUUUUCCCUCUCGUCUGGAUGCCAAGACCCCCACACAUCUGGAUCACUUGGGUCCUCUCGUCACUCGGAUUAGCCUUUUUCACUGUCUGGGAGCGACAAGUGAAAAUAUGCUUGAAGAGACCCCAGUGAGGCCGACAACCCAGGAAGUUCUCACACAAUGAAAUGAAAGCGGCAAGAUAAACGAUUGAGUUGGGGGUAAAAUGAUGGAGUUGUGCCCCAAAGAAGUUCAGAAACCCUCGGAAGAAGGGGUGAGGGGGCAAGGAAAAUCCACGGUCGACGUGGGUGGCAAGAAGGACACGCUCACCCUCCCGAGGCUGCGGCUCAGAUUCCUUCCCCGAAAGCCGCGCCGAGUCAUAGGGGAUCAGCCCCCCUUCGGCCAAGUCGUCGAGGUCUUCUUGGGAGAUCCUCAAGUGGAUCCAGUCACCCUGGAUCCAGCCCCUCGGCAGGCCGGACCACGAGGAAGAUCCGCCCUAGCUUGUCGCCUUCCCCUUCGACCUCGCUGUUGCCUUCUUUGCCUGCUCCAGAGCUGCUGUCUUCUCCUUCCCCGUUGUCGCUGGCAAGACGCGUAUGGUGCGGUGGCGCUGGGGCGAGAGCGAGCGCAGCGGAGGGGCGUGAGGAAGAGAAGAGGAAAUGAGAUGCACUGUUUGGGGACUCCGGUCCGGCGCUUUAUAUCAGGCCCCUUCCGAGUGGCUGACGGGUAGGCCAAGGCGGCUCUGUCAAAUCCCAUAAUGACCGCGCGUGCGAUACGUGGCGAAAAAGGUGGCGCGGGGAUCGAGGCGGCUCCUCUCUAUCCCAUCCGAUUACUGCGGCCUCCCCCGUCCCGCGCGCUUCCCAAAAUUCGGAUCCCACGAAAUCUGCGUGCAGCAAACAAUUGGUCAGACCAAAGAUCUCCUCCGCACCAUCACUCGGAGCCUUACAAGUAAAGAAACCCACUCGACGAAGAAUUAAGAAUGGAUCAAGGCGACUGAAAAGGAAGUCGCUGUCGUCACUCGGGUCCGUUGAUCUGAAACAAGAUAUGCUCACGGCAUGAAAAACGAGUCAGAGAAGUUCUCAACUCCUUCCCCACUCAAACCUCGAUCCAUUCGGGGGCUAAUGAUGAAGCUAUGUACCUAGGGUAGGAUCAUGGACCUGUCCUAACUGCCCUACCCAAGGACAUCUCUAGAAGAAACCACCUUUCAAUCGACUUGGAGGUGUUCCACUCGACAGACUCGAAGACGCUCGACCAAGAAGCAAUCACUCGACCAAGACCCAACCACUCGACGGCCAGGAGACCUAAAGGCACUCCGCACGCUAACGGUCGGUCAUUAAGUAGCUUUUAUGGUCAGCAUAACACUUUAUUACUAGCGUUACCAGUAACGCCCUGCCUUAAUGUACAUUGAACCCUUUGUAACGUGGGCUGGCCGGGGUCCUGGCGCACUCUAUAUAAGCCACCCCCUCCUCCGAGACAAGGGUUCACACCUCUGUAACCCAUAUUCAUAUAAUCCAAUCGACCGCCUCCGGGCUCCGAGACGUAGGGCUAUUACUUCCUCCGAGAAGGGCCUGAACUCGUAAACCUUGCGUGCUUACAACUUCUCCACAACUAAGAUCUUGCCUCUCCGUACUUACCCCCCUACACUGCUGUCAGACUUAGAACCACGACAUCCACCACCACGGAUCACUGACUUGUUCGACCAACUGGCUGAAGCCAAGGUGUUCUCAAAAAUAGACUUGAGAUCAGGCUACCACCAAUUAAGGAUCCGACCGUCAGAUGUACCAAAGACUGCCUUUACCACCAAAUAUGGAUUGUAUGAGUUCACUGUGAUGCCUCUUGGAUUAACCAAUGCUCCUGCUUAUUUUGUGCAUCUCAUGAACAAUGUCUUUAUGAAAUACUUGGAUAAGUUUGUGGUUGUGUUCAUUGAUGAUAUACUUAUUUAUUCCAAGACACCAGAAGAACAUGAGCAACAUCUUCGGAUAGUCCUCGAGGAAUUACGGAAAAAUCAACUCUAUGCCAAAUUCAGUAAGUGUGAAUUUUGGUUACGAGAAGUUGGCUUUCUAGGACAUGUUCUGACACGGGAUGGAAUAGCAAUGGACCCAAGCAAGGUAAAAGAUGUCUUGGGAUGGAAGCAACCCACCAGCGUAACAGAAGUCAGAAGUUUUCUUGGUUUGGCUGGCUACUACCGACGAUUUAUUAAAGGGUUCUCCACCAUAGCCAAACCCAUGACUCAGAUGCUCAAGAAAGAUAAAAAGUUUGAAUGGACCGAAGCAUGCGAGAAAAUUUUCCAGGAAUUAAAGAAGAGAGUAACAACUGCACCCGUUCUGACCGUGCCAGAUGUACACAAUUUUUUUGAUAUAUAUUGUGACGCAUCCGGAAAGGGCAUUGGGUGUGUCUUAAUGCAAGAGAGAAAAGUCCUAGCGUAUGCUUCAAGGCAACUACGACGACAAUAAGAGAAUUAUCCUACCCAUAACUUGGAAUUGGCAGCCAUGAUACAUGCACUUAAGGAAUGGCGGCAUUACCUUCUUGGUAACUGAUGUGAGAUAUACACGGAUCACAAAAGCCUUAAGUAUAUCUUCUGAAGGAAAUAUGCCCUAGAGGCAAUAAUAAAGUUAUUAUUUAUUUCCUUAUAUCAUGAUAAAUGUUUAUUAUUCAUGCUAGAAUUGUAUUAACCGAAAACAUAAUACAUGUGUGAAUACAUAGACAAACAGAGUGUCACUAGUAUGCCUCUACUUGACUAGCUCGUUGAUCAAAGAUGGUUAUGUUUCCUAACCAUAGACAUGAGUUGUCAUUUGAUUAAUGGGAUCACAUCAUUAGGAGAAUGAUGUGAUUGACUUGACCCAUUCCGUUAGCUUAGCACUUGAUCGUUUAGUUUGUUGCUAUUGCUUUCUUCAGGACUUAUACAUGUUCCUAUGACUAUGAGAUUAUGCAACUCCCGUUUACCGGAGGAACACUUUGUGUGCCACCAAACGUCACAAUGUAACUGGGUGAUUAUAAAGGUGCUCUACAGGUGUCUCCGAAGGUACUUGUUGGGUUGGCGUAUUUCGAGAUUAGGAUUUGUCACUCCGAUUGUCGGAGAGGUAUCUCUAGGCCCACUCAGUAAUGCACAUCACUAUAAGCCUUGCAAGCAUUGCAACUAAUGAGUUAGUUACGGGAUGAUGUAUUACGGAACGAGUAAAGAGACUUGUCGGUAACGAGAUUGAACUAGGUAUUGAGAUACCGACGAUCGAAUCUCGGGCAAGUAACAUACCGAUGACAAAGGGAACAACGUAUGUUGUUAUGCAGUUUGACCGAUAAAGAUCUUCAUAGAAUAUAUAGGAGCCAAUAUGAGCAUCCAGGUUCCGCUAUUGGUUAUUGACCGGAGACGUGUCUCGGUCAUGUCUACAUAGUUCUCGAACCCGUAGGGUCGGCAUGCUUAAAGUUCUAUGACGGUUAUAUUAUGAGUUUAUGUGUUUUGAUGUACCGAAGGUAGUUCGGAGUCCCGGAUGAGAUUGGAGAUAUCACGAGGAGUCUUGAAAUGGUCGAGACGUAAAGAUCGAUAUAUUGGACGACUAUAUUCGGACACCGGAAAGGUUCCGAGUGAUUCAGGUAUUUAUCGGAGUACCAGGGAGUUACGGGAAUUCGCCGGGGAGUGUAUGGGCCUUAUUGGGCUUUAGGGGAAAGAGAGAGAGGCAGGCCGCGUGCCCCCCAAGGCCUAGUCCGGAUUGGACUAGGGGGAAGGGUUGCGCCCCCUCCUUCCUUCUCUUCUCUUUUCCCUUUCCUUCUCUCCUACUCCUACUACUUGGAAGGGCUCCUAGUUCUACUAGGAAAGGGGGAAUCCUACUCCCGGUGGGAGUAGGACUCCCCUAGGGCGUGCCAUAUAGAGGGCCGGCCCCUCCCCUCCUCCACUCCUUUAUAUACGUGGUUAGGGGGCACCCCAUAGACACAACAAUUGAUCUCUUGAUCUCUUAGCCGUGUGCGAUGCCCCCCUCCACCAUAAUCCACCUCGAUCAUAUUGUAGUGGUGCUUAGGUGAAGACCUGCGUCGGUAGAACAUCAUCAUCGUCACCACGCCGUUGUGCUGACGAAACUCUCCCUCAACACUCGGCUGGAUCAGAGUUCGAGGGACAUCAUCGAGUUGAACGUGUGCAGAACUCGGAGGUGCCGUGCGUUCGGUACUUGAUUGGUCAGAUCGUGAAGACGUACGACUACAUCAACCGCGUUGUGCUAACGCUUCCGUUUUCGGCUACGAGGGUACGUGGACACACUCUCCCCUCUCGUUGCUACGCAUCACCAUGAUCUUGCGUGUGUGUAGGAAAUUUUGAAAUUACUACGUUCCCCAACAGUGGCACCCGAGCCAGGUUUUAUGCGUUGAUGUAAUAUGCACGAGUAGAACAAAAGUGAGUUGUGGGUGAUAUAAGUCAUACUGCUUACCAGCAUGUCACACUUUGGUUUGGCGGUAUUGUUGGAUGAAGCGGCCCGGACCGACAUUACGCGUACGCUUACGCGAGACUGGUUUUACCACCAUGCUAUGCACACAUGUGACUAGCGGGUGUCCGUUUCUCCAACUUUAGUUGAACCAAGUGUGGUUAUGCCCGGUCCUUGAGAAGGUUAAAACAACACUAACUUGACAAACUAUCGUUGUGGUUUUGAUGCGUAGGUAAGAACAGUUCUUGCUCAGCCCGUAGCACCCACGUAAAACUUGCAACAACAAAGUAGAGGACAUCUAACUUGUUUUUGCAGGGCAUGUUGUGAUGUGAUAUGGUCAAGACGUGAUGAGAUAUAAGUUUUUGUAUAAGAUGAUCAUGUUUUGUUGAAGUUAUUGGCAACUGGCAGAAGCCUUAUGGUUGUCUCUUUAUUGCAUAAGAUGCAAGUGCCAAAUAAUUCCUUUAUCGCUAUGCGAUAGGAAUAGUUGCAAGAGCAAUAGUUGGCGAGACGACCAUGUAAUGACACAUUGAUAUAGAUCAAGAUGAUGGAGAUCAUGGUGUCAUGUCGGUGACGAUGGAAAUCAUGAUGAUGCUUUGGAUAUGGAGAUCAAAGGCACAAGAUGAUGAUGGCCAUAUCAUGCCACAUAUUUUGAUUGCAUGUGAUGUUUAUCUUUUAUACAUCUUAUUUUGCUUAGUUCGACGGUAGCUUUAUAAGAUGAUCUCUCACUAAUUAUCAAGGUACAAGUGUUCUCCUUGAGUAUGCACCAUUGAGAAAGUUCUUCGUGCUGAGACACCACGUGAUGAUCGGGUGUGAUAGGCUCUAUGUUCAAAUACAACGGGUGCAAAACAGUUGCACACGCGGAAUACUCAGGUUAAACUUGACGAGCCUGGCAUAUAACAGAUAUGGCCUUGGAACACUGAGACCGAAAGGUCGAGCGUGAAUCAUAUAGUAGAUAUGAUCAACAUAGUGAUGUUCACCAUUGAAACUACUCCAUCUCAUGUGAUGAUCACACAUGGUUUAGUUGAUAUGGAUCACGUGAUCACUUAGAGGAUUAGAGGGAUGUUUAUCUAAGUGGGAGUUCUUAAGUAAUAUGAUUAAUUGAACUUAAAUUUACCAUGAACUUAGUCCUGGUAGUAUUAGCAUAUCUAUGUUGUAGAUCAAUAGCUCGCGUUUAGCUCCCCUAUUUUAUUUUUGAUAUGUUCCUAGAGAAAACUAAGUUGAAAGAUGUUAGUAGCAAUGAUGCAGAUUGGAUCCGUGAUAUGAGGUUUAUCCUCAUUGCUGCACAGAAGAGUUAUGUCCUUGAUGCACCGCUAGGUGACAAACCUAUUGCAGGAGCAGAUGCAGAUGUUAUGAACAUUUGGCUAGCUCAAUAUGAUGACUACUUGAUAGUUUAGUGCACCAUGCUUAAACGGCUUAGAAUCGGGUCUUCAAAGACGUUUUGAACGUCAUGGACCAUAUGAGAUGUUCCACGAGUUGAAGUUAAUAUUUCAAGCAAAUACCCGAGUUGAGAGAUAUGAAGUCUCCAACAAGUUCUAUAGCUAAAAGAUGGAGGAGAAUAGCUCAAGCAGUGAGCAUGUGCUCAGAUUGUCUGGGUACUACAGUCGCUUGAAUCAAGUGGGAGUUAAUCUUCCAGAUAAAAUAGUGAUUGACAUAAUUCUCUAGUCACCACCACCAAGUUAGUAGAACUUUGUGAUGAACUAUAAUAUGCAAGGGAUAACGGAAACGAUUCCCAAGCUCUUCGUGAUGCUGAAAUCGACGAAGGUAGAAAUCAAGAAAAGCAUCAAGUGUUGAUGGUAAACAAAACCACUAGUUUCAAGUAAAGAGACAAAGGGAAGAAAGGGGAACUUCAAGAAGAACGGCAAGCAACUUGUUGCUCAAGUGAAAAAACCCAAGUCUGGACCUAAGCCUGAAACUGAGUGCUUCUACUGCAAAGGGAAUGGUCAUUCGAAGCGGAACUACCCCAAGUAAUUGGUGGAUAAGAAGGAUGGCAAAUUGAACAUAGGUAUAUUUGAUAUACAUGUUAUUGAUGUGUACUUUACUAGUUUUUAUAGCAACCCCUCAGUAUUUGAUACUAGUUCAGUUGCUAAGAAUAGUAACUCGAAACAGGAGUUGCAGAAUGAACAGAGACUAGUUAAGGGUGAAGUGACGAUGUGUAUUGGAAAUGGUUCCAAGAUUGAUAUGAUCAUCAUCACACACUCCCUAUACUUUCGGGGUUAGUGUUAAACCUAAAAUAAAUGUUAUUUAGUGUUUGCGUUGAGCAUGAAUAUGAUUGGAUCAUGUUUAUUGCAAUACGAUUAUUCAUGUAAGUUAGAGAAUAAUUGUUGUCCUGUUUACAUGAAUAAAACCUUCUAUGGUCAUACAGCCAAUGAAAAUGUUUUGUUGGAUCUUGAUCGUGGUGAUACACAUUUUCAUAAUAUUGAAGCCAAAAGAUGCAAAGUUAAUAAUGAUAGUGCAACUUAUUUGUGGCACUGCCGUUUAGGUUAUAUUGGUGUAAAGCGUAUGAAGAAAAUCCAUGCUGAUGGGCUUUUGGAAUCACUUGAUUAUGAAUCAGUUGAUGCUUGCGAACCAUGCCUCAUGGGCAAGAUGACUAAGACUCCGUUCUCCGGAACAAUGGAGCGAGCAACAAAUUUGUUGGAAAUCAUACAUACUGAUGUAUGUGGUCCAAUGAAUAUUGAGGCUCGCGACAGGUAUCAUUAUUUUCUGAUCUUCACAGAUGAUUUGAGCAGAUAUGAGUAUAUCUACUUGAUGAAACACAAGUCUGAAACAUUUAAAAAGUUCAAAGAAUUUCAGAGUGAAGUGGAGAAUCAUCGUAACAAAAAUAAAAGUUUCUACGAUAUGAUCACAGAAGUAAAAUAUUUGAGUUACGAGUUUGGCCUUCAGUUAAAACAAUGUGAACUAAUUUCACUACUCACGCCACCUGGAACACCACAGGGUAAUGGUGUGUCCGAACGUCGUAGUUGUACUUUAUUAGAUAUGGUGCGAUCUAUGAUGUCUCUUACCAAUUUACCACUAUCGUUUUGGGGUUAUGCAUUAGAGACAGCUACAUUCACAUUAAAUAGGGCACCAUCUAAAUCCGUUGAGACGACACCGUAUGAACUAUGGUUUGGCAAGAAACCUAAGCUGUCGUUUCUUAAAGUUUGAGGUUGCAAUGUUUAUGUGAAAAAGUUUCAACCUGAUAAGCUCAAACCCAAAUCGGAGAAGUGCGUCUUCAUAAGAUACCCAAAAGAAAAUGUUGGGUACACCUUCUAUCACAGAUCCGAAGGCAAGAUAUUCAUUGCUGAGAAUGGAUCCUUUCUAGAGAAGGAGUUUCUCUCGAAAGAAGUGAGUGGGAGGAAAGUAGAACUUGAUGAGGUAACUGUACCUGCUCCCUUAUUGGAAAGUAGUUCAUCACGAAAUCUGUUCCUAUGACUACUACACCAAUUAGUGAGGAAGCUAAUGAUGAUGAUCAUGUAGCUUCAGAUCAAGUUACUAUCGAACCUCGUAGGUAAACCAGAGUGAGAUCCGCACCAGAGUGGUACGGUAAUCCUGUUCUGGAGGUCAUGUUACUUGACCAUGACGAACCUACGAACUAUGAGGAAGCGAUGAUGAGCCCAGAUUCCGCGAAAUGGCUUGAGGCCAUGAAAUUUGAGAUGAGAUCCAUGUAUAAGAACAAAGUAUGGACUUUGAUUGACUUGCCCAAAGAUCAGCGAGCCAUUGAGAUUAAAUGGAUCUUCAAGAGGAAGACGGACGCUGAUAGUAGUGUUACUAUCUACAAAGCUAGAAUUGUCGCAAAAGGUUUUCGACAAGUUCAAGGUGUUGACUACGAUGAGAGUUUCUCACUCGUAUCUAUGCUUAAGUCUGUCCGAAUCAUGUUAGCAAUUGCCACAUUUUAUGAAAUCUGGCAAAUGGAUAAACAAAACUACAUUCCUUAAUGGAUUUAUUAAAGAAGAGUUGUAUAUGAUGCAACAAGAAAGUUUUGUCAAUCCUAAAGGUGCUAACAAAAUAUGCAAGCUCCAGCGAUCCAUCUAUGGACUGGUGCACGCAUCUCGGAGUUGGAAUAUACGCUUUGAUAAGUUGACCAAAGCAUAUAGUUUUAUACAGACUUGCGGUGAAGCCUGUAUUUACAAGAAAGUGAGUGGGAGCACUACAACAUUUUUGAUAAGUAUAUGUGAAUGACAUAUUUUUGAUCGGAGAUAAUGUAGAAUUAUUCUGCAAAGCAUAAAGGAGUGUUUGAAAGGAGUUUUUCAAAGAAAGACCUCGGUGAAGUUGCUUACAUAUUGAGCAUCAAGAUCUAUAGAGAUAGAUCAAGACGCUUGAUAAGUUUUUCAAUGAGUACAUACCUUGACAAGAUUUUGAAGUAGUUCAAAAUGGAACAGUCAAAGAAAGAGUUCUUGCCUGUGUUACAAGGUGUGAAACUGAGUAAGACUCAAAGCCCGACCAUGGCAGAAGAUAGAAAGAGAAUGAAAGUCAUUCCCUAUGCCUUGGCCAUAGGUCCUAUAAAAUAUGCCAUGCCGUGUACCAAAUCUAUUGUAUACCCUACACUGAUUUUGGCAAGGGAUACAAUAGUGAUCUAGGAGUAGAUCACUGGACAACGGUUAAAAUUAUCCUUAGUGGAAUAAGGAUAUGUUUCUCGAUUAUGGAGGUGACAAAAAGGUUCGUCGUAAAGGGUUACAUCGAUCUAAAUUUUGACACUAAUCCAGAUGACUCUAAAUCUCAAUCUGGAUACAUAUUGAAAGUGGGAGCAAUUAGCUAGAGUAGCUCAGUGCAGAGCAUUGUUGACAUAGAAAUUUGCAAAAUACUUACGGAUCUGAAUGUGGCAGACCCGUUGACUAAACUUCUCUCACAAGCAAAAAAUGAUCACACCUUAGUACUCUUUGGGUGUUAAUCACAUAGCGAUGUGAACUAGAUUAUUGACUCUAGUAAACCCUUUGGGUGUUGGUCACAUGUCGAUGUGAACUAUGGGUGUUAAUCACAUGGUGAUGUGAACUAUUGGUAUUAAAUCACAUGGCGAUGUGAACUAGAUUAUUGACUCUAGUGCAAGUGGGAGACUGAAGGAAAUAUGCCCUAGAGGCAAUAAUAAAGUUAUUAUUUAUUUCCUUAUAUCAUGAUAAAUGUUUAUUAUUCAUGCUAGAAUUGUAUUAACUGGAAACAUAAUACAUAUGUGAAUACAUAGACAAACAGAGUGUCACUAGUAUGCAUCUACUUGACUAGCUUGUUGAUCAAAGACGGCUAUGUUUCCUAACCAUAGACAUGAGUUGUCAUUUGAUUAACGGGAUCACAUCAUUAGGAGAAUGAUGUGAUUGACUUGACCCAUUCCGUUAGCUUAGCACUUGAUUGUUUAGUUUGUUGCUAUUGCUUUCUUCAUGACUUAUACAUGUUCCUAUGACUAUGAGAUUAUGCAACUCCCGUUUACCUGAGGAACACUUCGUGUGCCACCAAACGUCACAACGUAACUGGAUGAUUAUAAAGGUGCUCUAUAGGUGUCUCCGAAGGUACUUGUUGGGUUGGCGUAUUUCGAGAUUAGGAUUUGUCACUCCGAUUGUCGGAGAGGUAUCUCUGGGCCCACUCGCUAAUGCACAUCACUAUAAGCCUUGCAAGCAUUGCAACUAAUGAGUUAGUUGUGGGAUGAUGUAUUACGGAAUGAGUAAAGAGACUUGCCGGUAACGAGAUUGAACUAGGUAUUGAGAUACUGACGACUGAAUCUCGGGCGAGUAACAUACCGAUGGCAAAGGGAACAACGUAUGUUGUUAUGGAUAUUCAUAGAAUAUGUAGGAGCCAAUAUGAGCAUCCAGGUUACGCUAUUGGUUAUUGACCAGAGACAUGUCCCGGUCAUGUCUACAUAGUUCUCGAACCCGUAGGGUCCGCAUGCUUAAAGUUCGAUGAUGGUUAUAUUAUGAGUUUAUGUGUUUUGAUGUACUGAAGGUAGUUCGGAGUCCCUGACGAGAUCGGGGACAUGACGAGGAGUCUCGAAAUGGUCGAGACGUAAAGAUCGAUAUAUUGGACGACUAUAUUCGGACACCGAAAAGGUUUUGAGUGAUUCGGGUAUUUAUCGGAGUACCGGGGAGUUACGGGAAUUCGCCGGGGAGUGUAUGGGCCUUAUUGGGCUUUAGGGGAAAGAGAGAGAGGUAGGUCGCGCCCCCCAAGGCCUAGUCCGAAUUGGACUAGGGGGAAGGGCUGCGCCCCCUCCUUCCUUCUCUUCUCUUUUCCCUUUCCUUCUCUCCUACUCCUACUACUUGGAAGGGCUCCUAGUUCUACUAGGAAAGGGGGAAUCCUACUCCCGGUGGGAGUAGGACUCCCCUAGGGCGCGCCAUAGAGAGGGCCGGCCCCUCCCCUCCUCUACUCCUUUAUAUACGUGGCCAGGAGGCACCCCAUAGACACAACAAUUGAUCUCUUGAUCUCUUAGCCGUGUGUGGUGCCCCACUCCACCAUAAUCCACCUCGAUCAUAUUGUAGCGGUGCUUAGGUGAAGCCCGACGUCGGUAGAACAUCAUCAUCGUCACCAUGCCGUUGUGCUGACGAAACUCUCCCUCAACACUCGGCUGGAUCGGAGUUUGAGGGACGGCAUCGAGUUGAACGUGUGCAGAACUUGGAGGUGCCGUGCGUUCGGUACUUGAUCGGUCGGAUCGUGAAGACGUACAACUACAUCAACCGCGUUGUGCUAACGCUUCUGUUUUUGGUCUACGAGGGUACAUGGACACACUCUCCCCUCUUGUUGCUAUGCAUCACCAUGGUCUUGCGUGUGGGUAAUUUUUUUUGAAAUUACUACGUCCCCAACAUCUUCACCCAACCAGAACUGAACCUACGGCAACGCUGCUGGCUAGAAUUAAUUAAGGACUAUGAUGUGGGGAUUCAUUACCACCCGGGUAAAGAAAAUGUUGUGGCAGAUGCCCUCAGUCGAAACCCAUGCAUCAACAUUGACAGCGUGCGAUUUCCACAACAUAAAUUCAACCAAGAGUUUGCCAAACUCAACAUGGUUCUAGUCACGGAAGGGACUGUUGUUCAACUAGAAGUAAAGCCCACGUUGGAAUCUCAGAUCAAAGAAGCUCAGAAAGGACACCCCAGCAUUGAAGGAAUUAAAAGGAAGGUAGACUUAGGCAAGGCAUCUGAGUUUACCAUUGAUGAGCAAGGAAUCCUAUGGUACAGAAGAAGGCUAUGCGUGCCCGACAAAGAAGAACUAAAGCAAAAAAAAUUGGCAGAAGCCCAUACAACACCAUACUCCAUUCACCCAGGAGGAACCAAAAUGUACAAGGAUUUACAAGAGAACUUUUGGUGGGACGGGAUGAAAAGGGAUAUAGAUGUGUAUGUUACACAGUGUGACUCGCGUCAGCGUAUAAAGGUAGAACAUCAGAGGCUAGCCGGAUUAUUGCAGCCACUCAGAGUACCUGAAUGGAAGUGGGACGAAAUAUGAAUGGAUUUUAUUGUCGGAUUACCGAGAUCACGACACGGGAAUGAUGCUAUCUGGGUUAUCACGGAUUUAUUAACCAAGGUGGCACAUUUCAUUCCGGUAAAAACAACAUACUCAACUCAGAGGCUUGCUAAGUUAUACCUCUCUCGAAUUGUUUGCCUACACGGAGUAUCCAAGACCAUAGUCUCCAACAGAGGCACUCAGUUCAUCUAAAGGUUUUGGGAUCACCUGCAGAAGGCCCUAGGAACACAACUGGUUUUCAGUAAAGCAUAUCACCCACAAACAGGGGGACAGACUGAACGGGUAAACCAAAUAUUGGAAGACAUGCUGAGAGCUUGUGUUCUUACUUAUGGAUCCAGUUGGGAGGAUAGUUUGCCAUACGCGGAAUUCUCAUACAACAACAGCUAUCGGGCAAGUCUAAAGAUGUCACCCUUUGAAGCACUGUAUGGCCGAAGAUGUCGUACCCCACUCAAUUGGUUUGAAACCGGAGAUAGCCGAAUCUUUGGCCCGAAAGUUACCAAGGAAGCAGAAACGAAAGUGAACUUAUUCGGGACAGACUGAAAACAGCUCAGAGCCGUCAGAAAAGCUAUUAAGACCAGAAACAUCGUCAGGUCAUGUACCUCAGGGUAUCCCAAAUGAGAGGACUAUAUAGAUUUAAGGUCAAAGGAAAGGUAGCACCACGGUUUGUUGGACCAUUUAGAAUAAUUGCAAGGAGAGGCAAGGUUGCCUACCAACUAGAGCUACCAUCUGAAUUGUCAGAUGUUCAUGACGUGUUCCAUGUAUCACCACUAAGGAGAUGUGUUAGAAACCCAGACAAACAAGUCCAACACCAGGACCUGGAUCUUCAACCAGACCUUACAUAUAAGGAGCGCCCGAUAAAAAUCUUGGAGGAGUCUGAACGGAGGAACCGACAGAGCGUGAUAAAAUUUUAUAAGGUUCAGUGGAGUAAUCAUACCGAGGAAGAAGCAACUUGGGAAAGAGAGGAUCACCUCAGGACUGAAUAUCCGUACUAGUUUGAGGGACAGUUGAAAUCUCGAGGACGAGAUUUUUCUUAAGAGGGGUAGGUGUUGUAACACCCAAAAUUAUCCCUUGGGUUUUAAAUUUUAUUUUCAAAAUGGUUCAUUUAUUUGGAUGAGUCUUUGGUUUGGUUAUUUUGUCUAAUAUCAAAAACAUUUCUUAGGUUAGAAGAAUUUUUGUGGCAUUUAAAAAUAUUCCAAGGAUUUGGUCACUUCACUCUUUUCAAACACUUCUAACUCAUCCCAAAAGUCUAUUCUGUCACUCUAAAUUCCUAUCCUAGUCUUCCUCGCUUUCUAGGACAGUGUCCAACACCUCACUUCUCCACAAAAAUAUUUUUCUUCAUAUUUAAUGAAUUCCCAAGGUGGAAUUGAUAUUUAUCAUGGUUUCUUUUGUUUACAAAGGAGCCACAUUCUAGGUAACUCCUCUGCAUCCACAAAAAUUACACCAGAAACUAGACAGUACCCACAACCCAUUUCACCAAAAAAUGGGGUUCCACAGUUCAAAAUCUUCAAAUUCCAUGCAAUUCAAAUUUGGACCAGAUUCACAUUUCAUGGUCAAAACCUAAUUUUCCUUGCUCCAAAAAUUCUGAAAUUUGUCCAGACACUCUCUUAUGCACAGAAACAUCACCACAAAUAUUCUCAACAUUUUCUAAAAUGCCUAGAGCUCUCUGGAAUUUUAUCAAACACCUUCCGUGCAUUGUUCACCACUGUCAAAAAGUUUCAGUAAAAUUUAGAGGUAACAGAAGUUCAGAGAGAGAGGGAGAUCAAUGCCAUGCACUUCUCCUCUUCCACUUCCCUGCGCGAUGUCGUCUACCCGAGGCAUAAAUGAGAUGCCCGGACCCCUCUGGUCAGUGGCUCGCCGCCGACCAGCACAGUGGCUGGCCGGUGCACCUGCCACCGCCCUCGGCAGCGGCGGCCGAGCGGACCAGCUCGCUGACCAGCGCCUUCACUCACAUACUGCUCCCCUGCCUACCACCUCUCCACGCGACACCUCUUCUGCGGUGUUGACCCACCGCCCAAACCGCCCCGCGCCUGGCUGGCAGCCGCCGGAGCCGAUCGCUGCCGCCACACCCGCGUGGACACCUCGCCGUGGAUAAGGCCGUAGGACUCAGCUCCGCCCAUGUUAUUGCUUCUGGAGUAUUCUCUCGACCUCAUCCACUCCUCACCGCCCCUGACCGCCGUCAAAACCUACCUCGUUGGCCGGAAUAACUCCGGCGUGAUCCACUCUGCCGCUGACCUGCUCGGACCGCCUAUAAAAGGCCACCCCGAGCCUUGUUCAUCACCCACACCACUCCACCACCAUCCCAAUCUACCUCCCGCACAUCACCUCGACCUUGAGAAGGUUUUCUCCCUCGGCUCUGACUACUGAUCCGUCGCCACCCUCCCCGAUCAGCACGACGACCACCACCACCCACCGACACGGGCGCCACCACGAACACGUCCCGACCAUCACCGCCUCCUGAAAUGCCGGCGAUCGCCGCCACUGACCACCGCCUCCCCUCUGUACACGCGCGCGUAAAGCGCGUUUGAAUUUCAAACCUGACGGGUGGGGCCCAGCCGUCAGUAUUAUGUUCUUUUCUGUUAUUUUUGGAAGCGUCUUUUUCUGGUUUACGCUUUCUUCUCUGGGAAACGUAUUUCUGGCUGAGGCGUUUUCACUUAUUACCGCAGGGACCCGCUGGCAAUUAUUUUGUUACAAAGAGGUCCUUGGUUUUGAAUCCUUAAUAACUUUUAGACCAUAGAUCAAUUUCAAUUGUUUAUUUUUCUAAAAUUCUUGUUUUUCACUCUAGUUUAUUUUAGUAUUUAUUUAAAAAUAAUUUGGGACAAGUUUUUGUGCGGUUAUAAAAAAGUUGAAUUUGGACUUCUAUUUUCAGAAAACGAAGAGGGGGACUAUACCAGGAGUUUUGAAGAACCUCUUGCUGAUUACUUUGGUCAAGGCAAGCAUAUUGGACAUGGGUUAUAAUGUAUUACCUUCAUGGUUGCAUCGGAGUAGUUUUGCACCGUAUAGUAGUAAUAGUAGAAGCAUGCAUCGGUCAUGUCAAUUUGAGCACUAUUGCAUGAACCCUGUUGCAUGUCAUGUGAGCACUAUUGCAUUCAUCAUAUUUCUUUUUGCUAACGUAUGAAUGUGGUAAGAAUCCAAGAGUGUAUUUCCUGCCUUGGACGUGCCGAUGGGCACGGACUGUGUUACGGCACGAUGGUGUCACUGUGGCAUGUGGGACAUGCCAGUCUUAAUAACAACACCUCCUGAGUCGACCUAGAAUCGAGUCUUGUUCCAUUAAGCCUAACUACACAUCGUGCUGCCACUUGUCUUCCCGCAAGGGGAGUAUGAUUUAGUAAGUUGUUAACCCCUUUCCGUGUACACACCACUUAGAGAGGCCACGAUGAGGGUUCCACGACCAUGGACUAAUGCCAGUCAUCGGGUCAAGGGGCAUGGGUGUAUCCGCUGGGCCGAGAGGGGGGCACCCCUUGUAAUCCAUGUGUAUUAAUAGUGAUCCCAUGCUAUUCAAGACGAUGGUCUCCCCGACUUAGAGUUUUUCUUGAAAGAUGCUUUGGGUGAUUCCGGGUAUCCGGAAAGUUAUUCUGGUGUGUGCUGGUUAGGUGUGUUUCCAACCCAAAAACCGUAAUGGAAAUUAGUCAAGGUCUAAGCAUUGGCUACAGAAAUUCCAUACAUAUGGGUAAAGAGUACACCCUCUGCAGAGUUACAUCUAUUUGAAUAGCCAUGUCCACGGUCAAGGGCAUAGUUGGGAAGGGUCAAGUAUCGGUCCUGGUGUCGAUCUUUGGAGGAAAAUAAUUAAAUUGAGCUUGAUCCAUCUUGCAGGAUAAUUGUGGUCGCCACCGAGGCUGUGGCGGAUAACAUUGUUAUGCAUAUUAUUGAUGUGAUGGACUAACCCAAUUCUCUUAUUCAAUUGUACUGAGUGUCACUUGGGAUGGCUAGACUACCCGUGCACUCAACUUUAUUUUGUUUUCUGAGUAUCACUUGGGAUGGCUAGACUACCCGGAUACUCAGUUUUAUUCUCAAGACCUUAUGUGGCGUCGCUUGAGUUCUCGGGCAGUCCUGUCUCGCCCGAUUCUCUUUUAGACACCCGUUUGUCAUUUCUUUUCAAGACCUUACGAGGCGUCGCUUUCAGACACCCAUUUGGCGGUUUUCUUGGAAUUUCUCGGGUGGUCUAACGCCCGAUGUUCCACUUUGAAUUUCUUGGCUAUCACUACUGUUAUUUGAUUAUUUAUCCACAUCAGAUCCACAUUAUCAUGUCAUGAUUUAAUUCCAGUCAACAUGUGCAUUUAGCAUAGCCUAUCAUGAGCAUUUUCAUUCGUUAUACCUUUUGUUCAUAAUGUUUGCGAGUACAUUCCAACAUACUCAUAGGCUUGUCCCUGGCUAUUGUCUUGGCCAAACCUGGAGGAGGACGAGCUUGCAUAGGAGGAUUGCGCUAGCGAGCCCAAGACAUAGAGGUGUUCCCAGUCAGUCACCUGUGGAUUUGGAGUCUACCAUGUGUAUCAUCCACUAGUGCUUCACCCCGACGCUUGGCUUACUUUAUUGUAUCGGUGUUAUAUCACCGUCACCCACUGUCAUAUUCCACCGCCACCUGUUUUACAAGUUUGUACCAGAUUGUAGAGCACUCUGGCUCAACUCGAUGUAAUAUUAUGUGUGUACUGGUUAUCUAUGUCAAGGAAGUCCACCAGCAGUCCUGAUCUUGGGGCUGGUGGGACUUUGGGCUAUUCUGUGAUUUAUUACGGAAGUGAGCCUGACAAACCUUGGUAUUAGAGCCAGGCUGACUAUAGGAAGCCCUAGGUGCGUUAGCUAGUAGUAGGAUCAGUCCUAACAUUUUCUUAGCAUGCGUUUUGUGCAUUGUAAUAGAUUUUCCUUAGUCAUCAUAUACCUAUGAUAUGACUAUUUGGAUUUUUUUUAUACUGUUGUAGAUGUCUGGCGGCAGCUGUCCGACCCAGAUAUUCGCCAACGAGCCUGCGGGAUUCUCCCGUCUUCUUUCAUCAUCGCUAGAGUUGUAGUGCGAUCACCAAACCGUCCAGAGUACACCAUCUUCCCGGACAGGAUCACGGGCACCCUGACCAUGUACCAGGCCUCGGUAUAUAUUCAGGGUGAAUCCGCCGAGCCCCACCGCAACUACCGCUUUGUUGGGAGAGUCAUGCCUAGUGAGAGGCAUGCUGUCCAGAUGGCCGCUCGUGAAGCCAUUGCUCAUCUUAGGGACAUGCUUCCAGUCAUGUAGACCCGUCCCUACUAUUACCUGCCAUGCCAUGUUCUGUACACAAGUCACUAUGCUUUCUUGUGCACCGCGGAAGAAAGGGACGAGGCAAUCAAACCCCUGGCUCAAUACAUCAUGGCCCUAGAAUCAGUCUUCACCUCACUGGUGGAUGACUAUCUUAUUGUACAAAUGGACUUAGCUCGUGCGAGAGUACCUCGCAGGAGGGAGAUCCGUUCUCCGUCACCACGUGCUCCACGCAUUCCGACUCCACCAUAUAUCCCUUCUACUUAUUCUGCAUUUUGACGCCCAUCGCUGAGCAACGAAGCUAGUCGCUUGGUUGCACCCAUUCCCGUUAGAGCGUCACCACCAACAACCACAGUGCCACUGCGAGCGGGCGUGGCAUCAACGACUGCGUGACUGGAGACCAUACACGAGGAGGAUGAGGAGGUCAAGUCUUCAGCACCUCAUCUGGUACUCACACUCAGCAGGGCCUAUGACAUCUCAGAUACUCCAUGAUGGCAGCCAAGGCAGCUACGCCGUAGCCACCCUUAAGGAGAUGUAGUGUAAAAUAGUUAUCUUCUGUCUUUUUCCUCCCUUGUAAGAUAGCAAAUAGUAGACUCAGACUGCGGCACGCUAGAAGUUAGAGCAGUGCGCUAGUUUUAAUAAGCGGAUAUGUAGUAUACGGCGGCGGCAUGCAUAUUGUAUAAUUAGAACUUGCAUGUAUAAUAUGUCUUGGUGUACUUGCGUCUUGGGGAAGUUUAUUUUUCAGUUUCUUAAAGAUUUGUUUUUCUCCUUGGAAAUUCUUUUCUCAUCAUGUUACACAAAUACCCCAAAAAGAAAAUGCAUCGUCCCUAGACUCGUUCUAUGCCCAUUCCGCCAAAGGACAACUUUGCGCAGAUGGGAAACAAUUUCACACCUGGACAGACAAGUCAACAAAGCAAUGAUGCUGCGUUUUCACAAGUGUUCCGUCUAUACGAGCGAAGUCAGCAAUAGCACCAGGAAGUGAUGCAACACUAGAUAAAUAUGGGGAAUCACCAAGGACAACACCAACCCAGGUCAAAAAUAUCUGAACUCCAGAAGACCAACCCAACGGUAUUUUCUCACGCAGAUAAACCUCUGGAGGCAGGCGACUGGCUAAGUGACAUUGAAAGGAAAUUGGUCAUAGCCCAAUGUACGGACCAGGAAAAAGUAUAUAUGCUCCGCAUUACUUUUUUGGUACAACAGCAUCAUGGUGGGAAAAUCUAUGCCACACGCAUCCCAAUGGAGGGGACAUGACCUGGGAGCAAUUCAAGGAAAACUUUCGGGGAGCCCAUAUCACCAAUAGUAUCAUGAAGUUAAAGAAACGAGAGUUUGAGGAUCACAAGCAACGGGGCAUAAGGGUAACCCAGUACCUGGACCAAUUUACUCAGCUAGCUCGGUACGCCAAUGAUGAGUACAUGACACAGAACAAAAAGAUGGAAAAAUUUCUGGACAGACUUGUUCCAUCUCUGAAGUGCCAACUGGUGGUUCACACCUUUCCAGAUUUCAAGACACUGGUAGACAAGGCUAUUAUUCUGGAAAAUGAGCACCACAACCUAAAUGAGAUUCGCAAGCGCCAUAUGAACUAGUCAGCACCGGUCCGCAACAACAGGCCCCGAAAUGAAUUUCAGAAGACUGUGAUACCUCGACCAGCAGUACCGACACCACGACCGCAACAGAAUCGCAGCACUUUCAACAAUCGGGCCAAGGAAACCGUGUACCGUCCUGGCAUUACUUGCUACGCCUAUGGUGCGGAAGGGCAUACGCUAGGUAGUGCCCAAAACAGGGAAAUAAUGCUCCAAGACCCAAUAACAACGGCUGCAGGACAAACGCAGCCCCACGACACAACAACGGAAAUAACAAUCAAACAAAGGGACAUGUUAAUUAUGUGACGUUUGAGGAAUUCCAGAAUGCACCAGACAUCGUGUUUGGUAUGUUCCCUGCCAACACAAUUAAUGCUACAGUUUUAUUUGAUUCCAGAGCUUCCCGUUCGUGCAUCUCUAAAAGAUUUUCCUAGAAGAAUCAAUUUUCUUUUUCGCCAUUGGAAAAUUCAAUGGUUAUUCAGUCCCCGGGAUCAAAGCAAAGUACGCAAUGGUACUGGAAGGAUGUGAGCAUUAACAUCAAAGGAACGAAGUUUUUAGCCAACCUUAUUGUGUUGGAAGCAGUCGAUGUGGAUGUCAUUCUGGGAAUGGACUGGUUGACUGCAAAUAAAGGUUUUAUAGACUGCUAUAGCCGUAUAGUAACUCUCACAGACUGUCAAGGGAAAGCAGUAAAGGUUGGUACAAGGAGAAUGUCCACCUCGCAGGGAAAAUUAACUCAAGUGGACAUGACAGACUUACGCAAAGUUCCUGUGGUAUGUGAAUAUCCAGACAUUUUCCCUAAGGAUCUACCAGGCAUGCCACCGGAUCAUGAGAUUGAGUUCAUUAUUGAACUAGCACCCGGAAUGGCACCCAUCUAUAAGAAGCUGUACCGCAUGGCACCAACAGAGCUGGUUGAGCUAAAGAAGCAAAUCAAGGAGUUAUUGGAGAAAGGUUAUGUCCGACCCAGCUCGUCACCAUGGGGAUCACCGGUGUUAUUCGCCAAGAAAAAGGAUGGUACCUUAAGGUUGUGUAUUGAUUAUAGGGCACUCAACCAGGUCACCAUCAAAAAUAAAUAUCCACCAUCGCAGAUCAAUGAUUUGUUCGACCAACUGGCUGAAGCCAAGGUGUUCUAAAAAAUAGACUUGAGAUCAGGCUACCACCAAUUAAGGAUCCGACCGUCAGAUGUACCAAAGACUGCCUUUACCACCAAAUAUGGAUUGUACGAGUUCACUAUGAUGCCUUUUGGAUUAACCAACACUCCUGCUUAUUUUGUGCAUCUCAUGAACAAGGUCUUUAUGAAAUACUUGGAUAAGUUUGUGGUUGUGUUCAUUGAUGAUAUACUUAUUUAUUCCAAGACACCGGAAGAAUGUGAGCAACAUCUUCGGAUAGUCCUUGAGGAAUUACGGAAAAAUCAACUCUAUGCCAAAUUCAGUAAGUGUGAAUUUUGGUUACGAGAAGUUGGCUUUCUAGGACAUGUUCUGACACGGGAUUGAAUAGCAGUGGACCCAAGCAAGGUAAAAGAUGUCUUGGGAAUGAAGCAACCCACCAGCGUAACAGAAGUCAGAAGUUUUCUUGGUUUGGCUGGCUACUACCGAUGAUUUAUUGAAGGGUUCUCCACCAUAGCCAAACCCAUGACUCAGUUGCUCAAGAAAGAUAAAAAGUUCGAAUGGACCGAGACAUGCGAGAAAAGUUUCGAGGAAUUAAAGAAGAGAUUAACAACCGCACCCGCUCUGACCAUGCCAGAUGUACACAAUUUUUUUGAUAUAUAUACUGUGACGCAUCAGGAGAGGGCAUUAGGUGUGUCUUAAUGCAAGAGAGAAAUGUCGUAGCGUAUUCUUCAAGGCAACUACGACGACACGAAGAGAAUUAUCCUACCCAUGACAUGGAAUUGGCAGCCAUGAUACAUGCACUUAAGGAAUGGCGGCAUUACCUUCUUGGUAACCAAUGUGAGGUAUAUACGGAUCACAAAAGCCUUAAGUAUAUCUUCCCAUAGCCAGAACUGAACCUACGGCAACACCGCUGGCUAGAAUUAAUUAAGGACUAUGAUGUGGGGAUUCAUUACCACCCGGGUAAAGAAAAUGUUGUGGCAGACACCCUCAGUCGAAACCCAUGCAUCGACAAUGACAGUGUGCGAUUUCCACAUCAUGAAUUCAACCAGGAGUUUGCCAAACUCAACAUGGUUCUAGUCACGGAAGGGACUGUUGCUCAGCUAGAAGUAAAGCCCAUGUUGGAAUCUCAGAUCAAAGAAGCUCAGAAAGGACACCCCAGCAUUGAAGGAAUUAAAAGGAAGGUAGACUUAGGCAAGGCAUCUGAGUUUACCAUUGAUGAGCAAGGAAUCCUAUGGUACAAAAGAAGGCUAUGUGUGCCCGACAAAGAAGAACUAAAGCAACAAAUUUUGGCAGAAGCCCAUUAUCGGUGUCAAAACCGGCGGAUCUCGGGUAGGGGGUCCCGAAGUGUGCGUCUAGGCGGAUGGUAACAGGAGACAAGGGACACGAUGUUUUUACCCAGGUUCGGGCCCUCUCGAUGGAGGUAAAACCCUACUCCUGCUUGAUUAAUAUUGAUGAUAUGGGUAGUACAAGAGUAGAUCUACCACGAGAUCAAGGAGGCUAAACCCUAGAAGCUAGCCUAUGGUAUAAUUGUUGUUCGUCCUACGGACUAAAACCCUCCGGUUUAUAUAGACACCAGAGAGGGCUAGGGUUACACAGAUUCGGUUACAAUGGUAGGAGAUCUACAUAUCCGUAUCGCCAAGCUUGCCUUCCACGCCAAGGAAAGUCCCUUCCGGACACGGGACGAAGUCUUCAACCUUGUAUCUUCAUAGUCCAGGAGUCCGGCCGAAGGUAUAGUCCGGCUAUCCGGACACCCCCUAAUCCAGGACUCCCUCAGUAGCCCCUGAACCAGGCUUCAAUGACGACGAGUCCGGCGCGCAGAUUGUCUUCGGCAUUGCAAGGCGGGUUCCUCCUCCAAGUACUUCAUAGAAGAUUUUGAACACAAAGGUAGUGUCCAGCUCUGCAAAAUAAGUUUCCACAAAUUGCCUAGAGAGAAUAAUAUUUACACAAAUCUAAUCUGCUGACGUAUUCUGUAGCGUGACAUCACACCACGGCCAAGUCCUUAUUCAAAUCGCUUUACUAUCCCACCUUAGCGCGUUUAGCGAGGCGGUUUCCUUGGCACGUCUUGUCAAAGCAGAGAUCGUGUCCCCUUAUUCCGGGAUUCUCAUCAAUACGGGCGUGGGUAACCCAACCCUUGCCAUUGAUUAUGGCGCUUGGGAGAUAAGCGAGUUUUACCAGGCUGGUGGGGACGCAUAGUCGCGUCCACCCAUAUAAGGGGAUAAGGAUCCACCUUUUCAUCCACGCCUUCUUCCUCCUUUGCCUAUCCAUUUCCGCGCACUCGAGCUCCAGCGCCCAAGUCCGCACACCCCACCUCAACCUUCUCCAGCCAUGUCCGGAGCGGGAGGCAAGUGGAUGGUCUUCUCCGUCAUGGAGGGACACAUAAAAAAACUAAGGAAGGCUGGAUACUUGUCUAACGACAUUGCGCACCGGCUUCCCGAAGAGGGGCAGCUCAUCCCCACCCCUAGGCCCCACGAGAGGGUGGUGUUCCUCCCCCGUUUCCUCCGCGGACUGGGCUUCCCUCUCCACCCAUUUGUCCGGGGGCUCAUGUUCUACUAUGGCCUGGAUUUCCAUGAUCUGGCCCCGAACUUUGUCCUCAACAUCUUGGCGUUUAUCGUCAUCUGCGAGGCUUUCUUCUGCAUCCGCCCCCAUUUCGGCCUAUGGCUCAAGACUUUCAAUGUCAAGCCGAAGGUGGUGCGCGGCACCCAGGCGGAGUGCGGAGGCGCCAUGGUGGGCAAGAUGCCCAACAUCCUAUGGCUCGAGGGCUCCUUCGUGGAGACCCUAAAGGGGUGGCAAUCGGGGUGGUUUUACAUCACUGAGCCGCACGACCUUGAAUGGGUCACAACCCCCGAGUUCCGAUCCGGACCCCCUACGCGGCUCACCUCCUGGAAAGAGACGGGCCUAUCAUGGGGUAAAAAAGGAGAGCUGACCGGGGUCCAAACAUGCGUCCAAACCCUAGUGGACAAGAAACUCAAACUUGUCAACGUAGUCCAGGUUAUGCUCAUCCGCCGGAUCCUUCCGUGUCAACAACGGGCUUUCAACCUGUGGGAGUUCGACCCAGCGUAGCACCGAACUCUGAGCAGGCUCUUCGACACGACAUACGAAGAUGCCUGGAAGGUGCUUUUCAAGGGCGCCGAGGCCCCCCGCAUCCGCUACCGAGGAUCGCGGAUUCAGCACGCAGCGUCAUGCUAGGGCGGUAAGCUGUUUUUACCUUUUACAGGGUAUUAGUUUUUCAUAGUUUGACUCCAUGUGGGAUCUAAGCUCCCUUACCUUUGUCAGGAUUGGCAGGAGACGUCCGGAGAGAUCAACUGUCCGGCUCCUUUUCCCGAAGGCCCAGCGGACGCUCGCUUGGCGAAGCUGUUGGUUCCGGCACCCUAUGUGGUGCCGGAGAAGAAGGCCAAGAAGAAGGCCACGAGGACUCGAAAGAGUGCCCGAUGCCUGGAGUUGUCGGAUUCAUCAUCCGACGACUCCAAGACGCACUCCUCCCGUGAAGACAAGGAGGAGGAAGAAGAGACCUCUCCCCCUCCAGCGGGGGGAGGGAAGAAAAGGAAGGCCGCCCAACUGGGGAGGUCGAAGGGUCCAAGAAGGGGAAGACCCUUCCUCUGGACUACUCCACCAACACCGACGACGGCGAAGAGGAGUGGCCGCACAGGGCCAAGCCCCUGGCGAGAUCGCGAGUAUUCGGACACCAGAGCAAUUCAUAGUGUUCCUUUCUUGCACAGCUCCUCCUUACGCCGAAUAUGACUAUGCAGUCCGCCCAAGGCCGGGCUCAACGAGUCGUCGAGCGGCUCCCUGGAUUCGUCGGACGUGAAUUCACUUCCGCCCGCUACCUCCCCCCACCUUACGGACGACGCCGAGGUGCUGUCCCAACAGGUUCCAAGCCAGGAGGAGGUGGUCCUGGUGGCGCCGCAAGGCGACCUCCCGGACUUCAGGCGCAAAGGGGAUAAAACCCCCAAGGGCUCCAAGUCCGGCCUUGAGCCGGACACCGCGCCGGAACCUUCAACGGUUCCAGACUCCGGUAGGCAGCCUCCUUCCAAAAGGAGCAAGCCUACCGAGCCGGUGACCUCCGUCCAACCGGAGGCACCGGACAAUUUGCUGGAGGUGCUUAACGGCGCCUCCAUCGACGAGGAGCACCGCACUAUUAUGAGUGCGGUGAUCCAGAAGGUUCAGUCCACCAAGAGCGGACUGACUGAAGCCUGUGCCAGCCUUCUAACAGGCUUUGAGGUAAGUAAAGAAUAUGUAAAAAUAUUACCGCAUAGACAGUAGCCCCUGAUGCUCUGUUCGGCAUUCGGAAGAAAAGCCGAAUCGAGGAUCUAAUAACAUUCGCAGGAGUCUAACAUAAUCAAGUCAAUAUGCGUAUGCAGGCUUCGCUGCUGGCCUCCGCUGCAUUGACUGCGGAGGUGGAUAAGCUGAAGCAAAACCUCGCGCAGUCCGAGAACGAGCUCGGCCAUGCCAAGAGGCAACUCGAGGAGAGGGAAGGUAAGUAAUACCUUGCGCAAGUAUAUAGAGAAGAUGUGGUUGCAAAAAAUGACAGGAUCAACGUGCUAUUAUAGGGGCCACGACCGAGGUGGCAACCCUUAAGAAAGCGCUAUCCGAGGCCGAAAAUAGAGCGGCCGCGGAGCGCACAGAGAGAGGGAAGUAGGAGGCGCGGGUGGAGGAGGUGCAGAAAGAGCUCCAGGCUCUCGUGAAAAAACACGAGAGUUUGGAGCUUGACUCAAAGACGCAAGCGUCCGAGCUUGCAGCAACCCUCGAAAGUGCGAAGUCUGUCAAGGCCGAAGCCCAGAAAGCCCACCAAGAAAUUGAAGCGAUGAAGAAGAUAGCGGAGGGUAAGGCAUUCAUUAUGCAAAGCAAGCACGUGAAAGUGAAUUACUUGUUACUUACCCGAGUCCGGAGCUCUCCAGGAGCAUUCACAGAUUUGCCCCGCAGUGCAUCUGAUGCCGCCGCCUACUACCGAUCCGAGGAGGGGAGCUCGACAGAGAAGGUGUUCUGGUCUCAGUAUGCUGAGGCCGGACACCUGGUGCCUUUGAGCGACCAGCUGAAGCAAAUGGUCGAGCUCCACAAGGUGGCCGAACAGGCCAUAAAGGGCCUCAUAGUUCGGCUUUGGCCUGGAGAGGCUCUGCCUGGGAGCUACUUUGGGCUGGUGAGGCGGCUGGUGGAUGCCUGUCCAUGGCUUGAAGUAAUCAAGCGCUCCGUCUGCAUUGAAGGUGCCCGUAGGGCGCUUGCCCAUGCUAAAGUGCACUGGGGCAAGAUGGAUGCGGAGAAGCUGGUGAAGGACGGGCCGCCGUUGGGCAAGGAGCAUCGCAUCCCGGAAGCGUAUUAUGAGGGUGUCCUGAAGGGUGCCCGCCUUAUAGCGGAUGAAUGCUCCAAAGAUGUAAUUUUUGAGUAAACUCGCAUUUGUGAUCCUGUGCGCUGAAAACUUGUUCAUAUGCGCUAAGCAAUGCUUUUGAAUUUAAAAUAUUACCUUCUGUGCGGCCGUUUAUCAAAUUUGAGAGAUGGCGAGUCGUCGGCUUCUGCCCCCAUGCCACGAGUGCUGGGGUGUUCGGGAUAAAUAUGAGCGCUCUUUUUCCCAUUCUUGGGUCCUUCGAGGGAGGCGCUCAACACAACGAACAAGGCAAUCAGACUAUAAUGCUUGAACACUCUCACUUAGCCAUAGAAUUCUGUAACUUUAAAUUUCGGCGAUGCCCCUAGUGUUUAGAAGACCGAGUUCGGGGCGCUAUCCACGCCUAGGCCGGACAAAGACGACUCCUCGCUCUAAGCGGCAUAAGUCUUUAGGGACUCGAAAACCUCUUGAACAGCGACCAGCUCUCGCCUCAUCAUGAUGGUCAGUUUUAGCUUUCUCUACUGAGGUGCUUUGCCCAGCUCAACUGGGGCACAAUCGCAGUAGUUCUCCUAGUGCUACCUUAGCUGAUAUAACGGAACGUAAGGUACAAAAACAUAGGAGCCGGGCAAACCCAACUAUUGACCCAAGACAUGAUUCGGAGCCGAUGCAUAUAGUGCUAUAAGUUCAGGGUGCCGCACUUGUGAAAGUGUUCGGACUUCUCACACCGUAUUGUGGGGUACUUAAGCCCCUGGCGUAUUGGCUGUACCAAAGUGUACGUGUGCAACAUGUGAUUAAUGAACAUAUAUUCGUAAAAAAGAGUAAUGCAAUAAUAGACGGAAGCUAUGCAUUGUUUAUUUAAAAAAGCUACGAUCAAAGCAGAAUGAUACAAAUAGUGCGAUAAGCAAAAGAUGGGACUAUUUAACAUGUCCUUUCCAGGGGCGAGCUGCGGAAUGGUAUGUGAAACAGAUAUACUGCUCGUUAUAGAGACCACCUUAGAGUUCCAUAGUGCGGCGUAGCUUUCUGCUUCCCUGGUUGUAUCGUUUGUGCGGCAAUUGUACUGCUGGGCAAGCCUUCCGAAGAAUGGAGUCCUGAAAAUAAGAGAAAAUUAAAAAAUCGGCAGCCCCUAGUGCGGUUUAAGGCGCGUUUCGGGCGUGCCGUGAUGGUGCCCCUCCCCCUGUGCCCAUGAUAUUUCCAGCGCGUAGUUAUGUACGCGCAACACUGGUUUCGCACGUUCGCGAGGGCUGCGGUUGGGGCCGCAUUGCUAUGCUUGCUCGGAACGUGCCAGGCGGUCUUGUUGUAGGUUACCCCGGCCGCGCUUGACGGUGUCCAGUCGUUUAAUGGCCGGACUGGAGAAUUGCCUUGAGAGGCUGCUUUGUACUUCCGCUGUGAUAGCCGCCAUAUGCUCCUCCGUUCGGAGAGAGCGUUUGGUGUUUCCAUUGACCGUGAUGGCUCCUCGAGGGCCCGGCAUCUUGAGCUUGAGGUAUGCGUAGUGCGGCACCACAUUGAACUUGGCAAAUGCGGUUCGUCCGAGCAGUGCGUGAUAGCCACUGCGGAACGGGACUAUGUCAAAGAUUAACUCCUCGCUUCGGAAAUUAUCCGGAGAUCCGAAGACCACUUCAAGUGUAACUGAGCCUGUAUAGUUGGCCUCUACACCUGGUAUGACGCCUUUAAAGGUCGUUUUAGUGGGUUUAAUCCUCGAGGGAUCGAUGCCCAUUUUCCGCACUGUAUCCUGGUAAAGCAGGUUCAGGCUGCUGCCGCCGUCCAUAAGGACUCUAGUGAGGUGAAAUCCGUCAAUAAUUGGGUCUAGAACCAAUGCGGCGAAUCCGCCAUGACGGAUGCUAGUGGGGUGGUCCCUUCGGUCGAAAGUGAUCGGGCAGGAAGACCAUGGGUUGAACUUUGGGGCGACUGGCUCCAUUGCGUAUACAUCCCUUAGCGCAUGCUUCCGCCCCCUCUUGGGGACGUGGGUUGCGUAUAUCAUGUUCACCAUCCGCACUUGUGGGGAAAAACCUUUCUGUCCACUAUUGUUCGACAGCCGGGGCUCCUCCUCGUCAUCGCUAUGCAGCCCCAUGUCUCUGCUUUCGGCAUUUAACUUGCCUGCCUGCUUGAACACCCAACAAUCCCUGUUGGUGUGAUUGGCUGGUUUUUCGGGGGUGCCAUGUAUCUGGCAUGAGCGGUCGAGUAUUCGGGCCAAACUGGACGGGCCCGUAGUAUUUAUUUUGAAUGGCUUUUUCCGCUGACCGGGUUUAGGGCCUCUGAAUCCGGCAUUAACUGUCGUAUCCUUGGCAUUGUCGCCGUUAAUGCGGCGCUCUUGCUUGUUGCGACAUGACCUGCCACUACUGUCCUUGGUAUCCGAAUUACCAGGGCUCUUGGUCAUGUUUUUGCUGUGAGCUAGCCAGCUGUCUUCUCCCGCACAAAAGAGGGUCAUAAGUGUCGUGAGGGCUGCCAUAGAUUUUGGCUUUUCCUGUCCUAGGUGCCGUGCAAGCCACUCGUCGCGGAUGUUAUGCUUGAAGGCUGCUAGGGCCUCUGCGUCCGGACAGUCGACGAUUUAAUUUUUCUUGGUUAGGAACCAUGUUCAGAAUUGUUUGGCCGAUUCCUCUGGCUGCUGAAUUAUGUGGCUAAGGUCAUCGGCGUCUGGUGGUUGCACAUAAGUGCCCUAGAAAUUGUCGAGGAAUGCGGUUUCUAGGUCCUCCCAACAACCAAUUGAUUCUGCUGGCAAGCUGUUAAGCCAAUGCCGAGCUGGUCCUUUAAGCUUGAGUGGGAGGUAUUUGAUGGCGUGUAGGUCAUCACCGCGGGCCAUGUGGAUAUGAAGGAGAUAGUCCUCGAUCCAUACCGCAGGAUCUGUUGUGCCAUCGUAUGAUUUGAUGUUCACGGGUUUGAAACCCUCGGGGAUUUGAUGAUCCAUUACUUCAUCUGUGAAGCAUAGUGGGUGUGCGGCGCCUCCGUAUUGGGCUAUAUCACAACGCAGCUCAAACGAGCUUUGUAUACUGUGUUCGGCCCGGUCGGAUUGACUGUAUCCGGAGUAACGAUUACCGUCUGAUGUCAUGGGGCGCCCACGCGAUCCGUAGAUCGAUCUUGUUUGCCUUGCCUUGUCCUCCAAUACAUCUCGCAGGUCUGGCGCAUUUUCCCGUGCCUUGGUAUUUUUUGAGAGGCGCCGGGGUGCGGCUUGAGUGGAGGGCCGAGAGGCCUCUCUGUCGCGGCCACGGGGUGGCCGGUCGGCCGCAUCAUAUGCUGGUGAUUUAGGUUUAGGUGCUUCCUCCUCUAAUCGGGGUAGCAACCUGCGCUUUGGGUAGCUCUUGGUGGGGCGUUCGAGUUCAUACUCUUCGGCCGCAAGGACUUCAGUCCAUCUGUCGGCUAGCAAAUCUUGAUCAUCUGUAAGCUAUUGCUAUUUUUUCUUGAGGCUGCUCGCCGUGGCUAUAAGCCUGCGUUUGAAACGCUCUUGUUCGACGGGAUCCUCCGGUACGACAAAUUCGUCGUCGUCGAGGCUUGCCUCGUCUUUGGAGGGAGGCAUAUAAUUAUCGUCCUCGACCUCUCUGUCUGCCACUCUCUCAUGAGGGCUGGCUUCUCCAUCCUCCCGUGCUGAAUCUUGCUGGAGGUGGUUGUCUUCGGCACUGUCUGGGGUGUUAUUAUCUCCCAUGCCGAAAUCACCGUUUUUGCUUUGACGGGAUUUAGAGCGGCGCCGCUGACGCCGACGCUUAGGCUGCUUCUUGGAGGGGUCAUCCUCCGCUGUUCCAUCGCCACUGCCUUCUUUUGGGGUGUCCACCAUGUAUAUAUCAUACGACGAGGUGGCUUUCCAGUGCCCUAUAGGUGCUGGUUCUUGAUCGUCUCCUGCAUCGGCGUCCAUACUGUCGAUGUCUUUGGAGUCAAAGUCGAGCAUGUCGGUUAAAUCAUCGAUAGUGGCUACGAAGUGGGUGGUGGGUGGGCUUUGAAUUUCUUCAUCAUCCGCAUCCCAACCUUGCUGACCAUAGUCCGGUCAGGGCUCUCCUGAUAAAGAGAGAGACUUUAGUGAAUUUAGAAUAUCGCCGAAGAGCGAGUGCUGAAAGAUGUCUGCGGCGGUGAACUCCAUGAUCGGCGCCCAAUCGGGUUCGAUCGGUAAGGGCGCGGAGGGCUCGGAGUCUGGAGAGGAGUCCGGCUCCUUGGAGUCACGGGCUUCAUAGAGAAUAGGGCUGGUGUUCGGCUCGAUUGCCGUAGAGAUUGCAGCCCCCGAGGCGGUGUCCAACCACCCAUCCUUGAUUGGCGCAGUUGGCUCCGAAUUAAGGGUCGGAGCUGAUGCGGGUGCGGCCUCCAGGGCACUGUUCGGCGGCAGAGCUAGAUCAUGCCCAUCGUGAAAGUGCGGCGCGCUCGGCUGCGGCUCGAAUCCGUCGAAGAUCAAGUCUCCGCGGAGAUCGGCCGUGUAGUUCAAACUUCCAAAUCUGACCUGAUGGCCAGGGGCGUAGCUUUCGAUCUGCUCCAGAUGGCCAAGCUAAUUGGCCCGCAGUGCAAAGCCACCAAAUACGAAGAUCUGUCCGUGGAGAAAAGUCUCACCCUGGAUCGCAUCAUUGUUGAUGAUCGGAGGAUCCAUCGGGCCUAAAAGUGACGACACAGAGGAACUCUCAAUGAAAGCACCAAUGUCGGUGUCAAAACCGACGGAUCUCGGGUAGGGGGUCCCGAACUGUGCGUCUAGGCGGAUGGUAACAGGAGACAAGGGACACAGUGUUUUUACCUAGGUUCGGGCCCUCUCGAUGGAGGUAAAACCCUACUCCUGCUUGAUUAAUAUUGAUGAUAUGGGUAGUACAAGAGUAGAUCUACCACGAGAUCAAGGAGGCUAAACCCUAGAAGCUACCCUAUGGUAUGAUUGUUGUUCGUCUUACGGACUAAAACCCUCCGGUUUAUAUAGACACCGGAGAGGGCUAGGGUUACACAGAGUCGGUUACAAUGGUAGGAGAUCUACAUAUCCAUAUCGCCAAGCUUGCCUUCCACGCCAUGGAAAGUCCCUUCCGGGCACAGGACAAAGUCUACAAUCUUGUAUCUUCAUAGUCCAGGAGUUCGGCCGAAGGUAUAGUCCGGCUAUCCGGACACCCCCUAAUCCAGGACUCCCUCACCCAUACAACACCAUACUCCAUUCACCCAGGAGGAACCAAAAUGCACAAGGAUUUACAUGAGAAGUUUUGGUGGCACGGGAUGAAAAGAGAUGUAGCUGUGUAUGUUACACAGCGCAACUCGUGUCAGCAUAUAAAGGCAGAACAUCAUAGACCAGCAGGAUUAUUGCAGCCACUCAGAGUACCUGAAUGGAAGUGGGGUGAAAUAGGAAUGGAUUUUAUUGUCAGAUUACCGAGAUCACGACACGAGAAUGAUGAUAUCUGGGUUAUCACGGAUUUAUUAACCAAGGUGGCAAUUUCAUUCCGGUAAAAACAACAUACUCAACUCACAGGCUUGCUAAGUUAUACCUCUCUCGAAUUGUUUGCCUACACGGAGUACCCAAGACCAUAGUCUCUGACAGAGGCACUCAGUUUGUCUCAAGGUUUUCGGAUCACCUGCAGCAGGCCCUAGGAAUGCAACUGGUUUUCAGUACGGCAUAUCACCCACAAACAGGGGGACAGACUGAACGGGUAAACAAAAUAUUGGAAGACAUGCUGAGAGCUUGUGUUCUUACUUAUGGAGCCAGUUGGGAGGAUAGUUUGCCAUACGCGGAAUUCUCAUACAACAACACUAUCAGGCAAGUCUAAAGAUGUCACCCUUUGAAACACUGUAUGGCCGAAGAUGUCGUACCCCACUCAAUUGGUCUGAAACCGGAGAUAGCCGAAUCUUUGGCCCGGAAGUUCUCAAGGAAGCAGAAACGAAAGUGAAACUUAUUCGGGACAGACUGAAAACAGCUCAGAGCCGGCAGAAAAGCUAUUAUGACCAGAAACAUCGUCAGGCCAGUUUUGAACCCGAUUAGUAUGUGUACCUCAGGGUAUCCCCGAUGAGAGGACUACAUAGAUUUAAGGUCAAAGGAAAGCUAGCACCGCGGUUUGUUGGAAAAUUUAGAACAAUUGCAAGGAGAGGCAAGGUUGCCUACCAACUAGAGCUACCAGCAUAAUUGUCACAUGUUCAUGACGUGUUCCAUGUAUCACAACUACAGAGAUGUGUUAGCAACUCGGACAAACAAGUCCAACACCAGGACCUGGAUCUUCAACAAGACCUUACAUAUAAGGAGCGCCCGAUAAAAAUCUUGGAGGAGUGUGAACGGAGGACCCGACAGAGCGUGAAUUUUUUUAUAAAGUUUAGUGGAGUAAUCAUACCGAGGAAGAAGCAACUUGGGAAAGAGAGGAUCACCUCAGGACUGAAUAUCCGUACCUGUUUGAGGGACAGCUGAAAUCUCGGGGACGAGAUUUUUCUUAAGAGGGGUAGGUGUUGUAACACCCCAAAAUUAUCCCUUUUUUUUAAAUUUUAUUUUCAAAAUGGUUUAUUUAUUUGGAUGAGUCUUUGGUUUGGUUAUUUUGUCUAAUAUCAAAAGCAUUUCUUAGGUUAGAAGAAUUUUUGUGGCAUUUAAAAUGUUCCAAGGAUUUGGUCACUUCACUCUUUUCAAACACUUCUAACUCAUCCCAAAAGUCUAUUUUGUCACUCUAAAUUCCAAUCCUAGUCUUCCUCACUUUCUAGGACAGUGUCCAACACCUCACUUCUCCACAAAAAUAUUUUUCCUCAUAUUUAAUGAAUUCCCAAGGUGGAAUUUAUAUUUAUCAUGGUUUCUUUAGUUUACAAAGGAGCCACAUUCUAGGUGACUCCUCUACGCCCACAAAAAUUACACCAGAAACUAGACAGUACCCACAACCCAUUUCACCAAAAUAAAUGGGGUUCCACAGUUCAAAAUUUCCAAAUUCCAUGGAAUUCAAAUUUGGACCAGAUUCACAUUUCAUGGUCGAAACCCAAUUUUCCUUGCUCCAAAAAUUCUGAAAUUUCUCCAGACACUCUCUGACGCAUAGAAAAAUCACCACAAAUAUUCUCAAAAUUUUCUAAAAUGUCUAGAGCUCUCUAACAUUUUAUCAAACACCUGCCGUGCAUUGUUCACCACUGUCAAAAAGUUUCAGUAAAAAUCAGAGGUAACAAAAGUUCAGAGCUAGAGGAAGAUCGAUGUUGUGCACUUCUCCUCUUCCACUUCCCCGUGCGGUGUCGUCUACCUGAGGCAUAAAUGAGAUGCCCGGACCCCUCUAGUCAGUGCCUCACCGCCGACCAGCACAGUGGCUAGCCGGUGCACCUGCCACCGCCCUCGGCAGCAGCGGCCGAGCGGAUCAGCUCGCCGACCAGCACCUUGACUCCCCUACUACUCCCCUGCCUACCACCUCUCCAUGCGGUACCUCUUCUGCGGCGUUGACCCACCGCCCAAACCGCCUCGCGCCUGGCUGGUAGUCGCUGGAGCCGAUCGCCGCCGCCACACCCGCGCGGACACCUCGCCGUGGAUAAGGCCGUAGGAAUCAGAUCCGCCCAUGUUACUUCUUCUGGAGUAUUCCCUCGACCUCAUCCACUCCUCACCGCCCCUGACCGUCGUCCAAACCUACCUCAUCGUCCGGAAUAACUCCCGCGUGAUUCACUCCGGCACUGACCUGCUCGGACCGCCUAUAAAAGGCCACCCUGAGCCUCGUUCAUCACCCACACCAGUCCACCACCAUUCCAAUCUACCUCCCACACAUCACCACGACCUCGAGAAGGUCAUCUCCCCCGGCUCCGACUACCGAUCCGCCGCCACCCUCCCCGAUCAGCACAACCACCACCACCAACCACCGACGCGGGGCGCUACCCCGAACACGUCCCGACCAUCACCGCCUCCUGAAACGCCGACGAUCGCCGCCGGUGACCACCGCCUCCCCUUUGUACACGCGCGCGUAAAGCGCGUUUGAAUUUCAAACCUGACGGGUGGGGCCCACCCGUCAGUAUUUUGUUCUUUUCUGUUAUUUUCGGAAGCAUCUUUUUCUGGUUUACGCUUUCUUCUCUGGGAAGCGUAUUUCUGGCCGAGGCGUUUUCACUUAUUUUCGCAGGGACCCGCUGGCAAUUAUUUUGUUACAAAGAGGUCCCUGGUUUUGAAUCCUUAAUAACUUUUAGACCACAGAUCAGUUUCAAUUGUUUCUUUUUUCUGAAAUUCCUGUUUUUCACUCUAGUUUAUUUUAGUAUUUAUUUAAAAAUAGUUUGGGACAACUUUUUGUGCGGUUGCAAAAAAGUUGAGUUUGGACUUCUAUUUUCAGAAAACGAAGAGGGGAACUAUACCAGGAGUUUUGAAGAACCUCUUGCUGGUUACUUUGGUCAAGGCAAGCAUUACUGGACUUGGGUUAUAAUGUAUUACCUGCAUGGUUGCAUCAGAGUAGUUUUGCACCGUAUAGUAGUAAUAGUAGAAGCAUGCAUCGGUCACCACUACAAAAAAAA